Molecule: long non-coding RNA, 49178 nt
Filed under: Malus domestica (apple)
Lineage: Eukaryota; Viridiplantae; Streptophyta; Magnoliopsida; Rosales; Rosaceae
Description: long non-coding RNA (MDOM_LNC004283)
Source: RNAcentral
GACAAUCAAGCCCAAAGCAGUUGAGUUUGAUGACCCGGGACAAGCCACAACUAUCAUAGUAAACCUGGCCAAGUUCAAAGUCCCGGAAAUGUUCAAAAAUGUGGUGUUUGUCAUUGAGUUUGUGCCGGAAAAAGAAAGUAAGUCAUCUUCUCCAAUUUUAAUUUUUAUUUAUACUAACAUGUUUCUUAUUUUGAUGAUUCAGGCACCCACUCUUGAAUUUAAACCAUUGCCGAAUCAUUUCAAGUAUCACCUCCCAUUAAAAGAUAAAUUCCAUGCUUUGGAGCCGAUGAGAGUUUAAAGGAAAGAUUCGUCCGGCUAAAGACGUUAAAUCAAGCGCUUCUUGGGAGGCAACCCAAGCAUUCAACGAAGGAAGACUUUGGAAUCGUUAACCCAAUCAGAUUUGCAUUCUUACACCCUUAUCUUUACUGCUUUCAUUUUGUUUUGUUUAGUUAGUUGUGUUAUUUGGUUGAUUUCUGUGAGUUUGUGUUAUUUAGUUUAAGUGUGGGGGAAGGUUAACCAAAGUCUUUUUACAUUAAUUUACAUAUAUAUAAAAAAAAUAAAUAAUAAAAAAAAAAGAUAAAAUUUAAAAAAAUAAAAUAAAAAAAAAUAAAAUAAAAAAAAAUAAAAAAUAAAAACAUAAAAGUACAAAUAUUUUACAAUGACUUAAACUAAUAGCAUUCAUUGGUCAGGUGGUGCUUCAGUAGUCGGCGGAGCUUCGGCAGUCGGCAGGGCCACAGAAGGAGGAGGCAGCAGAGGUUGAUCAGUUGGAGCUUCACUACGUGGUGCCGCUCCAGAAGACGAAGGCAGAUGUUGUUGGAACAAUCCCACAAACCUUCGAUGAUCAAGUAAAAUUUGACCAUCGGUGUCCUGCAUCUGGUCAAUCUUCCUCUUCAUGCUGGUGGCAUAGUUGUGUGCAAACUUAUGCAAUUGUUUAUUUUCAUGCUUGAGUCCCUAAUCUCCUCUUUGAGACUCUGUAUUUCAGCCACCAACGAUUCAACAUGACGGGUUCGGGCAAAUAGGCGUUGGGCCAUGUUGGACACAGAACCAGCACACUGCACGCUAAGAGCCAGAGACUCCUUAACCGCCAAUUCAUCAGACCGUCUAGCGAGCAGUCUGUUAUCUCUGGGAGUGACAAGGUUCCGGGCCACCACCGCAGCGGUCAUGUCAUUUUUUCACCGAAUCCCCCACGGUAAGAGGACCGGUGGGAGAUAUGAAGGAUGGGCGCCAUAUGUUGUCUGGUGAAGGCGGAGCUGCCUCUUCACCACGGUUGAGGUCAAAACGACGAUCGGAAGGGCCAGACAUUUUUCAGAGGUGGUGAAGAAAGAAGAGAGUCGGACUGAUCAAGAUUUCGGAAGUGCAAGAAGGGAGUGUUUACAGGAGGGAGCUCAAGUGUGUUGUGGAACAAAAUUAACGCCUCUAUAAAAAGAAGAAUUCAAAGAGGCACUCCUCAGAAAUCGAUGAAGCGUCCUCUCACAAAUCGAAGAGUCGAGGAGUUUCCGUUCUCAAAAGCCGGAUUCUUUUCUCAAAAGAGGCGUUCAUUUCUUAAAAGUUGGGCUUGCUCAGAAACCACGAGCCGAACCCCGGAUUUCGCAAGAUCAAUUCGUCCAGACGUGUUGUCACCCGUCACACGCAAACUCAGCUCUGCGAAAAUCACGGGCAGUCUGUCGAAGUGCCGAUUCCAACCAUCUGUCUCUCUCAGCCUAGUCAGCAUUUGUCACAUGCAACUGGCAGCUUUGCGGAAAUUACGGGCAGCUUUGUCAGAAAGCGCGUAAUUUGUACUAUUCAUCCAUCCACCGGCUGCCGACAAUGAGUGAGAGAACAGUUCCGGUUGUGAAGACAAGUCCUAUAAGUUUCUACCUUCGCCUUCCACAGCAAAAGCACACUCUCUCAGCACACCCUCUCAACUCUUCUUCAUCUCCGAAAAUGCAUUCCCAAAGAAUCCUUCUCGAGUCACUCUGUGUUCCUCAUUCCUUGGGAUACUCCUGCGAACAACCCAUUCAAAGCAAAAGUAUUUCAUAUCAUAAAGGUUGAAAGCAAGAGUAUCUCAUAUCAUGCUUUCUCCAUGUCCUUCUCCUUGUCUUUGUUUUCCGACAAGGAGAAGGAGAGCAAUCAGCCAGCAUUUGGUAUCAAUCUUCCGAUCUGGAGCCAACUGCCUGGAACCCCUUCCUGAUUGCUUACCUAGCCUUGCUCUCGAGUACUCAUCUUCAUCAUCUUUAUGCUUUCCUCUUUUGUCUACCACAUCUACCUGGGGGACAGUAAGGGAAGUGAAAAUGAUACCUCGAAGCAUGUGGAGACAAUUCAGCUAGGGACAAGGAGAAAGAAAGCAAGAGGUGGGCACUUGGAAAGAUUGAAGAAAGAAAUCAAGGACCAAACCUCUACCUCGUGCCUGCCCGCCAUGCAGAGGAAACAAGCAGAGAAGAAUGCAGACUGAACUGAAAUCCUCGCUCAGAAUUCCAAAUCAGUUCAAGAGGAAAGCUGUGGAAAGUCAACAAGCACGACCAAUGAUUCACUUAUUAGUUUCUAUUCAUUAUCUUUUAUUUUCAUUUUCAAUUUUUCGUUUGCAAUUUUUUCUAAUUAAUUUUCUUGCGUACUUAACUGAAUUAUUUCUUUUCUUUGCAGGAACUUUUGGUUAUUUCCACCCUUGAAGUUGAUUGCAGAAUUUUAGCUUGGGGGGUCAUCGCUUGAUUUUACUGCAAAUUAGGGAAGUUUUCAGUCCAAUUGCUUUAUUUUGUUUUUUAUUAUUUUGUUUAUUUUAUUUAUUUUUGCAUUAUAGUGUUUUCUGACAUUGGGGACAAUGUCCAGUUUAAGUAUGGGGGUAAAGGGUAAAAAUGACCAAAUUGAAAUUUUUUGUACCUUCAACUUCGAACUGGUUUCAUUUGUUUCUGUGUUGUUGCUUUUUAUUUUUUAGUUUUGUUUUCUCUAUAAAAAAAAUAAAAAAAAAAAAAUCGGAAAAUUUAAAAAUCCAAAAAUAUUGUCUUGUUUUCCUUAUUGUUUUGAAUUAGAUUUUUGUUAGUUUCCCGACCCAAUGAUAUAAUUGGAUAAAAUUUGAACCAUGAUCAUCAAGAACUUAGUUAACAUGUGUUUUUGUGAAAUUCCUAAUUCUCGUUGUUAGUUUUGUACAUGUUUGAUCAUCUUUGAAAAACCAAAUGCACAUAGCCUUGUUGAUGUGAAACUAAAGCAUGACUUAAAGCUUCAUAUGUGAAUUUAGUGACCAUAUACAUCCUAUGUGAGUUUUUGAGCCUAUUGAAAGUGUGUGCAUUUUUCAUACACUCCUAUUCUUUCAUGUGUGAUGAACUUAUGUGAGAUACAUCUCUAGAACUUGCGUAACGAUCUUUCGAAAUGUUUGUCCUUGAUUGCAUGAACUUGGAAAUGAUAGAGGCAUUAGGUUUACCAUGGCCCAAAUAACCAUGUUUCCCAAAGAAAAAUGAUAUCAUUAGAUUGCCAAUUUGAGCCGUAUAUGUUGAACCUUUUGUUUCUUAUCACCAGAUAUGUCUACCCUUAUACCUGAAACAUUUUUCCUUACCCUUUUCCAAGCGAGCAAUGCGAGAUUGUCUUAUGAGAAACGUUUGUUAAGUACUGUGAAGGUGUUUGGCAAAAGAAUAAGUGUGGGGGUAUUUCAUGUUUGUAUUUCAAAAAAAAAAAAAAAAAAAAAAAAAAAAAAAAAAAAAAAAAAGAAAAAGAAAGAUUGUAUACAAAGAAAAUAAAAGUUUUUAAAGUUUCAGUUUAAGGUUGUGGUUGGAGGAUGUCUAGAAGAAUCGUUGGAGAGCUUGAGUUCUUAUAAAUCUAAAGAAAAGAAUUGCUUGCAAUGUAGCUUGGAACUUGUGUUUUCCUAUUCUUUCGUUUCAAUAACCCUAUCCCUAAACCUCAUUACAUCCAAUAAAAGUCCUCUUGAUUUAAGUUUUGCAAUUAUGACUGUGGAGAAGUGAUCUUUAUGCAAGCUUAUGGUAGAAAUUUCACAUUUGUUUCUUUGAGCGAAACACAUUAAAACUAAAACACAUGUGUGAUUGAGUGCAUAUCCCGUGAGAAGGUCGCUAGUUUGCAUAUGAUGAUUUUAAAAAUAAAAACUUGAAAUUGCAUUAGCAUGACUAUCUCACACACUACACUUCAAGGAUGAUUCAAAGAUUACUGCUAAUAUUUGAAUAAGAUGAACUUGGAUUAGUUUGUUUGACGCUAGCUAUGGUUCUUGAUGAUUUGUUUUCUCGAAUGAAAUUCUAUGAGGGUCACAUAGGGGGAAACUAAUGUUUUUCAUGUUAUUACUUUUUCAUGUCUCUUUGUUUUGCUCGAGGACUAGCAAAAGCUAAGUAUGGGGGUAUUUGAUCGGAUCAUAUUUAUAUAUAUUUUUACUUCAAAUUCACUCGUCUUUUCUUAGUUAGUUCCUUAUAUUUUUGAGCUAUUUACGUUAUUUUUGUGUUUAUAGGAUUUGUUAUGCAAAGAAAAUAAAAAUGGCACAAAUGAGUUUUAAAUAAUAAAUUCGUAAAAAAUUGCUUUAGUCGUUCUCAUUCUGUCAUGGGUUAUUGGUAGAAUUAUGUCACGGAUUAUAGGGCAUGGAAAUUAGGCUAAAUUUAUUAGGUAUGCAUUAGAAAUUAUAUGAUAUAUCUAAAAUUGAAGUGUUUUGCAGUUGGUGAGUAAAGAAAAAAAAAAGAAUAAACAAAGUUGUUGGAGGGCUGCACAUUAAGGCACAGAAGGAAUAAAAAACUGCACUUGCAGCGUGAGUGUGGUGGGUGAGGCAUUAGCCUCGGGGGUGAGUGCGGAAAAGAAAGAAAAAUAAUAGGGGAAGUAGGGCAGCUACGUGGGCAGCGAAUAAAGGGAGAGAGGUGAGAAAUCAGCGCGAGGAGAAGACGGGAGAGACGUGAGGAGGGGGAAAGAAGCAGCUUAGCUGCCCCUGGCAGCCUUGGAAAAACAAGAAAAGCAGAAAAUAGAGAGGUCAGAGGCAGCUGCCUUGCGGCAGCAGGAACCGAGGAGAGUCAGGAAGACAGCUGCCCUUUGGCAGCGUGAGCGUGAACACGUGCAGUGAGGUGCGAAGAAGAGACGCCAGCGUGAGACCAGAGGGUGGAUAGGGAGAAGCAGCAAAGCUGCAGUGCCAGCGACAGAAAAACAGAAACAUCAGAGCAGCAAGCUGCACAGAAAACAGAAGGCUUCAAUCUAUUUUCUUGGGGUUAAAUCUUUCCAAACUUUUAUUUUAUUUCUGUUUUUAAUAAUGUGUAAUUAAUUUUAUUUUGGCUAGAGGUUAAUUCGAAACCAUGAAUAUAUUUGUAAUAUGAAUUGAUUACCUUCAGUUGUGAUUUCUGAGUUGUGAUUUAAUUUGCUUAACUGCUUGAUAGAUAACUAAUUUUUUUGUAUGUCGAUUAAGGAUGCAUACUUAAUUUACAUGCAUGAAUUUGAUGCUAGAAUAUAAGUGAAUUUCACCUAAUCGUUAUGAACUUAUAUUCACAAGUAGUGAAGGUUGUUAACCACAAUCGUGUUAAGUAAAUUCUUGGCAUAAGUUUCAUGCAAUUCAUAGUAACAAGUGCCUCGUCAAUGCUUAUGAUUUUCAUAGAACUUAAUGAUUCUUGCUUGUAUCUCUAUUAUGCAAUUCAUGUAGGGAACUUGUGGGGAAUAUUUUGGGUUGUCGUAUGCAAUCAUCCAAUCCAUUAACUUAAGGAAAAUCUGAGAAUUAAUUUAUGCAAUUCAUGGUUAAUUUGGGGCGUUGAGAUUUACAAUUUAUUGAAAGAACAACUGAAAAUCAAUUUAGAUUGCUUAUGUGUCAUGUGUGGAGAAGAACCCUCUAGCUAGUCCGUCAUUUAUCAUUUUACCUUAAUUUUAUGUUUUUGUCAAUUCUGUAAUUUAAUUAAGUUUAAUUUACUUUUCAUCAAAACCAAACACCCAUCCAUUAUUAAAUUAUAUUUUUUUGUUAGUUUUCUUUAUUGUUAGUCUUUUAAUUUAAUUUCCGUCCAUUUCAGUUCCUAGUGUUUAAUUUAAUUGUUUUCAUUAUUUUGAGUCAUUUUAAGUGUGUUUCGAGUUAUUAGAGUUUUUAGCCUAAUUUUGUGUCCUUGAGUCUUGUUUAAUAUUUUUAGAUUAAUUUAGCAUAGAUUAGCAAUCCCUCCUAAUCCCCGGCCUAGAACGAUACCCUACUUACAUCUAUACUACAAUUGUCAAAAAGAGGGUUAAUUUGUGUGUCAAGUAAUUCUCACAUCAGUUCCAUUGGCAAGGUUUAAACUUUUGAGAAAUGCUUCACAACUUUGAAAACAAAAACGCUUUCAUUUUGCAUAUCCUUGCACAUUUAAUAUUUGUAAUAGAUUAGUAGUGUAUGGAUGUAUUUUUUAUGAGGCUCUUAUUUUCGAGUACAUAAGCGACAAAUGUGUUUUAAUAUUUUGAAGUAAUAUUUAUGUGACAAUGUGUGGUAUGUGCAAAUUUAAGAAAAAAAAAUAUUUUUCUUAACGGGUCAUAACGGGUCGGGUCACUUUACCCAUUGGGUAAAGUGACCCGACCUGUUAAGGACCCGUUAAGAUAACAGGUGUGACACGACACGACCCGUUAAGAUAACAGGUGUUACACGAAAACGACACGAACACGACUGACACGACCCGUUUGCCAGGCCUAGCAGAAGGUAUGUAAGUACUAUUGGUUGCCCGGACGAGAACAAAAUUACAUAUUCCAUUGCUGAUCUGGAUGGCCUUGUGUGGGAGAACACCCCAUAUUUUGUUCUCAACAUUAAUGAGACUGCUUCUUAAGAUGACUGCUUGAGAGAUUGCAAUUGUGAAGCUGCAGUUUAUCAUGACUAGUUGUGCCAAAAACAGAGGUUUCCGCUAAGAUUUGGAAGAACUGGAAAAAGUGGCUCAACCAUGAUCAAAGUUGUCACUGAGAGUUCAGGGACAAAAACUGUAAGCAAAGCAAGGUAAGAACAACUUCGAACAUGAAUCUUUAUUGGCGGUAUUGCAAUGCUAAGUUUUGCACUUAUUAUUCUAGCAAUUACUGGUUUUGUUAUUUAUAGAUACUGUGUUGCAGAUUACGAAAAGAUUUCGAAUUCAAAAAAUGAUGGGUUUGUAGAAGAUGUCACGCUGCGAUCAUAUACAUAUUGUAAGCUUGAAAAGGCAACCAAAGGUUUUAGUGAUCAAGUGGGCAAAAGACCAUUUGGGACAUUUUAUAAAAGGGUCAUACCAUCAAAUGGUGGGAGAGUAGUGGCUAUCAAGAAACUAGAGAAGGUGAUGGAUCAAGGAGACUGGGAAUUCCGAAAUGAGAUGAACGCAAUAGGAAGGACGCAUCAUAAAAAUCUGGUUAAAUUGCUUGGCUACUAUCACGAUGGAUCAAAUAGGCUUCUGGUUUAUGAGUACAUGACCAAUGGCUUGUAAUAGCAACCAUACAAGCUCUAUAACAAACUAGCCAAGAACAUAAGAUUUAACCAAGUCACAAUCAUCACUCCAAAUAUAUUCUGUAUAUGCAAACACUGAAGUAAUUUCUGCAACACAUACCUGCAGACUGUUUGACGAAGUCUUUCUCAUGUGUGUAUGCCAUUAGGUCAUGAGUAAGUUCAACUUACAUUCCCAAUAGUCUUCUGGAUAAUUGCAACUCGCUGUAAUGCCUUCUCAGAUUCCAAAGCCCGAACUCUAAGCUUCAUAUCACCUUGUUCCAAUCUUUGUAUAAUUUCAGCAAGCUUUUCAACUCUGUCAGCAUGUUCAUGGAUGAAGAAGCCAUGGACGAAUCUACACACAACCUUCUCCUCUCUGCAAAACUCAAUGCUCUUCAAGUUAUAGGUAAUUGGAACAAUAAAAGCAUGUUUUUGUGAGAGCAGGGGUUUGUGGUUUUUAUACUACAAAAUCUAGAUUACCUUAUAAUAAUCCUACAAGGAAUACAAGACCAAAUCCUUGUACAAGUAUGAGUUCUAUUCUUGAGCCAACAGUAGAGUUUCAAUCCAAACCAAAGUUAAAUUAACUCUUAUAAACACAUUAAGACCUCUUUAUACCAAUCUGAAAUAACAAUGAUUAUUACUAAGCUGUGAGAAUCACACUCAUACUCUAACAUAGCUCACUUGCAGAUUUCUUUUUCCGAUCGGAUGGAAGACCAACUUGGAAGGAAAGAAUUGGCAUAUGUCUCAAUGUAACUUGAGGCAUACUUUAUUUACAUGAAGAGUGUGACACACAGAUCAUCCACUGUGACAUCAAAUCGGAAAAUAUACUAAUGAGUGACCAAAAAUGUGCAAAGCUUGUUGAUUUUGGUCUUGCCAAGCUGCUAAAGCUUGACCAAACUAGGACAUAUACCGGGUUAAGAGGAACAUGGGGUUAUGUUGCACCUGAGUGGCAUAGAAACGUUCCCAUAACAGUGAACAAAUGUAUACAGCUUUGGGGUUGUGUUAUUGGAGAAUAUGCUGCAGAAGAUGUGUGAAUAUGGACAUACUUGAAGAUCAAGUUAUCCUUGAGAAUUGGGUAUACCAUUGUUUGGAAGCCGACGAACUGGAUAAGCUAGUGAAGGAUGAAGAUGUUGACAAGAAUGAACUUCAAAUGAUGGUUAAGGUAGGACUUUGGUGCAUCCAAGAUGAGCUAGCAUUUCGCCCUUCGAUGAAGAAGAUCAUACUAAUGCUGGAAGGGACUGUAGAGAUACCAAACCCGCCAAGUUUUACCUCCAUUUCUAGUUCCAUUUCCUGACUAAGCCUUGUUGUUAACUGAUUAGGAAACUAGCUAGCUUCUGUGUAAUUUUGUUGCAGCGUUGGUUUUGUUGUUUGUUUUAGUUUUAAGUAAAGUUUAUCUUCAUGUACUAUGCUACAAUCUGAUCCGUACAAAAUGAAUAACAAGUAAAUUUCAUACUUCACCGAGCAUACAAAUUAGGUGGUGUAUGGUUUCUUUAAUUUAGGUGAUAAGUCUAUCAAUGUAUACAAUGAAGCAGAAGAAAAUCUUUCUCACCGGCGUGUGUGGGGUUUCAUUCUCAUUGAUCUGCGUCAGCACCUGCCCUAGCUUAGGCUAGGCUUGGUGAUUGUCCCAUGGUUUCCUGUGUAGUUUGUUUUUGUGGUUUAGUUUUCAGUUUUAUCUAGCUCUUCAUGAUCUAUGGGAGAGUGUAGAGCUUUAGUUCAUGUGUUCCCACCAUCAUCCUUGUUGGCCCUUGUUGGUCCUUCCCAUUGUCCACCCUUGUCGGCGAUAUUUCUCGUGGGUUUACACCUACAUGCUUUCUUGGUCUCGUGGUGGCGAUCCUUGUGUUGGUCCAUAGUGGAUGAUAUGGCCUCUUUCUUCACCAAUUUCGAGUUUCUUCAUUGUGUGAUCCCUAGUAGGGGUGAGCACGGGCUGGGCCGGGCCCAUUUUUUAAGGAACCGGACCGGACAUGAGUUUAAAAUAAAUGGGCCGGGCCGGGCUGGGUACAUCAUAUUUCAAUACAGAAAUCAGACCUAACCUGGCCCGUUUGAAACGGGCCGAUCCGGGCCAGGUCCACGGGUCUUUUUUUUUUCUCUCUCUGUUUAAGAUUGAUUCAGCUCCAGAACCCAGUUCCAAAUUGCAAUUCCAAUUCCAAAUCCAGUUCCAAAUCGUCACCAAACCUAGUUCUUACUUUAAUGUUCUUCAAUCUUUACAUGAGCAUACCUCUCUCUAGAUCUUUUGCUUUCUGCAAAAAUGGCUCAGAAUACGUUUUUCUAAUUGGCCUUUUUCUUAGCAUUAUUCACACUCACUUCACUCUCCCACAUCCUACGCGAAUCCGACCCCUCAACUCCUCCGCCUUCUCCCUCCAACUCCACCCCCGCGACGCCCUCUUCAAUUUCCAGCACAAAGACUACAAAUCCUUCACCUUAACCAGCCUCGACCGCGACUCGGCCCGAGUUAACUCGCUUCAAACCAAGCUCCCCUUGGCACUCCAGGGGAUCAAAAAUCAGAUUGCGACUGCGAUGAUGUCGGGGUGGUGGAGGAGAUGACUGACGGAGAGUGGGUGGAACCGUAAAGGGGAAGGGACGAUGCAUGCGAGACGACAAGAGAUGUAACCAAUGAUAGAACAUAUACAUCUAGCAACCUGGGAAAACUUAGGGAUCUUUAUAGAGAUGUAAGUGAUCAAAAAGGAGAAACCAGUAUGGACAGGAUUCCCAGGGGAGAUGGUGGUGGUGGUGAAGAGGUGAUUAGACUUGGCGAUUCUCGUUGGAAAUAGCACGGAGAGAGAGAGAGAGAGAUCGAGAGAGAGAGAGAGAGAGAUUGAGAAUCGAGUCGACAGAUCUGAAAGGGAGGAUUGAAGAGAGGAGAGUAUUCGAGAAGAUUUGAGAAAAUAGGAGAGGAAUAGGAAAAUGUUACAAACGGGCAGUUCGAGUACCCGUUUUCUUACACUUUUGGAAUCGGCCCGCCCCUAAAAUUUCAAAGCCCCGGCCCGCCUUGCCCCGUUUCUUUAAAAAAAUUAGGAACCGGCCCGUACCCGCCCCGAACCGCGAUUACCCGCCCCGACUCGCAGUUCCUAUACCCGUUUGCCCACCCUUAAUCCCUAGUGAUUGUGGAGGGAGGCGGACAGUUGUGCGGAUUUCUAGUGGCGGCGUUUCUAGGAUUUUCUAUGUAGUUUGUUUGUGUGUGAUGGGCUCUAAGUUUCUUAGGAUGUUUUCUUAUGUGCGUUUGUGGCCCAUUUUCUUUUUUGUGCUUAACUUGUAAUGGGCUUUGUUGUACUUGUUUUGGUUAGUAAGGAAAUGUACAAUUUAUAAAAGAGAGUUUUAACGAAAAACUCACGGUACUGUUCACUUUAAUGAAAAACCACAUUUUUACACUAAAAAGUCAAACUUGGUACUAUUCACUUUACCUUUUAUUUUGUCCUUAUCGUUAAAAGUCAAAGUUUUCAAGCCAUUUUCAUUAAUUUUCCUUUUAUAAAAUAAAUAAAUAAAUGAAGUGAUGCAAACUUUAGGGUUACUUACAUUUUAUACCUUUUAGGUUUGAAGUGUUUUUAAAAAUUGGUCAUGAGGUUUCCAUUUUUUCAAACUGCACGUUUACACCUUUUGUCUAUUUGAACGUCUAAUUAUCCAUUAAAUUGAUGAGUUUUUGGGUCAAUUUGGUACAAAUGUGGCUAUACAUAUCAACCCAAUUAUGUGUUCCACGCUCGCAAAGUUAUCAAUUUAAUGAAGACUCAAAACAUUUGUUAGACAAAAAACAUAAUUGAUACAGUUCUAAAAUCUCAAGGUGUAGUGUGAAAAAGUGAAAUCUUAUGGCCCAAUUGACACAGAACGUUAUGUGACAAUUUACUUGAGUAGAAAAAAAAACUCGAGCAUCAUGAUAUUUUGAUGUGAAAAAAAAAACGCAAACGUUUGCUUUUUUUUUUUUUUUUUUUUUUUUUUUUUUUAACAAACGAUAUUAUCUACACUAAGGUGGAAGAAGAUGAAGCUUAGCCUUACAAUAAGCUAAUAAUAAUAUGGUUCAAAUUCGUCUUUGACGAGAAUCGAAUCUAAGACCUCUUACUUACUAAUAAAGAAUGGUAAGCCUUUCUCUAUUGCCCCAAAAAAAGAGAGUAGUCGUUGUCUCAUUUGACGGAUUGAAAUAACGGAGUUUAGUGUCCGAUUAAACCAAGGGGAGCAUGAGUGCAAUUUGACUCACUCCUUAACUUGGCAAAGCAAUCCGGCCGGUCCAAGUGUACUGAUGAUCCGCGUGGCAAAAUCCCUGCUAAACUGCCGAAGGGAACCAAUGAGGCCUCCCGCAGCAAAACUACUCUAAAGAAUAAACACGCGAUCUGAGUCGUCGGCGAGUAUCGACGUCAAAAACCAUUCGCUGGAGCAAAGCAGGUCACUGAAAAUAAAUAAAUAAAAAUUAAAAAAAAACACGGAAGCUGAAGCUGUUGCGGGAAAAAGCUUGAUCAGAUUAGGGUUUCGCGAAUUCGAAUCGCCGAAAAGGUUCAAUCAAGUUAGGGCUUUUAUCAAAAUUUUAGUUAUAAUUGCUUAGUUUGUUUGCUGAAAUUUGGAAAUUUGCAGGAUAACUGAAAUGGGGGACGGCCUAUGGAACCGGCAGCAGCAGCAGCAGCAUCAACUUGGUCCCUCUGGCGGCGUGCAUAAACGACCUCGUUCUGACUACGGUACGUUCUCUGUGGCCGUGUCUCAUAGUUAUUUUCUUUAAUUGGAUGGAACUGUGAUUGGAUUUUUUGCAUUAUAGAUUUAGUUGUCUAACAAUUUAAAUAUGUGACCUUUUUUGUUUUUUAUUCGAGCGAUAUUAUAGUCUAAUCGAAACUAUGGGGAGUGGAGGAUCUGAACUUGGGUGUAAAGAGGGAGCACACUGCUCAAGUGUUAGCUCGAAGUCUGAUUUUUGUGCCAUAAGUGUUUUUGCUUUAGUAGUUCUUGAUGGGUUUUCGGGUUUCACUGUAAAAUUAUGUUCAAAAUGGUGAAUUUUGUGUGUAGAGUAUCUAUCGUUGACAAAGAUUCCAGUUCGGUUGUCUGAUGACUCUGCUUGUUUUUAUCUCCAAUUAUUCCUGCAGAUAUGCAGUUUCUGGUUUUGUAGCUAGGUGCCUUCUUUUCUUUUCCUUUUUUUGAAAAAAAAUGAAAAAUGUUUGCUUCUGUUUUUAUUCUUACAUCUUCAGGUACUUCAUGAAGUAUAUAAUAUAGUUUAGCCUUUUUGUUACACUUGCUACAAUUGGGGUGAACAGUCAUACUUGUAUGAUUCCAUAUCAUAAUGUAUCUUUCAAGAAAGCUUUACUAGCAGAUGAUUUCUGUCGUUAUUUUCUUUGUAACCAAAUCACAGUUUGUCGCUCUUAUGUUUCUUUCAGUCCAUACUGAAUAAGCUGAACCCAAGAAAACCUGGUUCAGUGUGGUUGUUGAGACCUAUGUGCAAAAUGAAAAGUACUACAUUACACGGUACUUAAGAAUGGGUAUUUUCCCCAACCCAACCAAAUCCCAAACCUCUAAAAUGAUAUCAAGUAGAUUCUUCCCUUUAUGUGCGGCCAGUCUUCCAAUCUAAUGCUAUUUUUCAAUAAUGAUGGUAAUAAGAUUCCCCAUACAUAUUUAUGAUGCAUAUUAUUGAUAUAAAUUUUGAUAACCAAAUCCCCUUUUUUUGUUGAUUUAGUUAUUUGUCUGUUGAAUAGUUCUUGUUAUAAAUUCAUAGUCACGAUCAAAAGCAUAGCCUUGUAUAGUCUUAUGUAGAUGUUUCGAUUGGUAUGUUUUCUUUGUACUUUUGAACCUUGAAAGCAGUUUUACUAGUUCAUCACCACCUUGUUUGUUAACUGCUAGAUGAGGUAUAUUCUACAUCCCCCUAUUACUUCUCAACUGGUUUCUUGAUUUAUGUUCUUUCAUUUCUUCUUUUUAUGCCUUUUCUCUUGUUCAAUAGUUGUAAUAUUUACAGCUGAAUUAUGUCUGUUUGUUAAUGUUUUCUCAGUGUCUUGCCUUUUUCAUAAAGGGUAAAAUAUGCGUUCCGUGCAUUAAUUUUGUCAAGGAUCUCAACUUUUAUUUUUCAAGUUAGGAAACAACUUUUCCCCAAUUUAUUUUGUUUUCAGGGGAAAUGUGAAACAUGGUGAAUAGUUAGAAACACAGAUAGGAACCUUUCAACUGGAAUGAGUAUCUCAGUCUUCCUCAGAGCAUCUGUUGUUGGCCCUCACUUUUAACGUUUGUCGCCUCUCUCUGCUUUUCUUUCUCCUUUGUAUCUCGUCUCUCACACUCUCUCUACACCCUAAAAACCUGCACUCCAGCCCCACUCCCAAAGCCUGUCUGAGAGCCAUUCUUCGAAACCAAUAUGUGGACCCUCUUCUUCUUCAACACUCCCCCCCCCCCCUCUCUCUCUCCCUCUCUCCCUUCUCAAUGUUGUCAUCUCUGUCUCAGAUGUGAAACCAUUUGGUUGUGGAUAAUAAGUUUGAUGUGAAUAAUUCUUACGUGAUAAAUUUGAAUGAUAGAAUUUGGUAUCAUUUCAAGUUAAAUGGAGUCGACAAGAAUUUUGUUGAACUUGUGGAGAAAUGGAAGAUGCUACUUGUAUCAGAUAUAGAGCUGAUAUUGGAUAUUUGACAUUGCUUUAUUUCAUUGUAUCAGUUUCUUUGUGGUGUCGAAAUGGUUAUGGUACUUGUAUGGCAUAUAGAGCUGAUGUUGGAUGUUUGAUGUUGCUUUAUUUUGUUGUAUCAGUUUCUUUUUGGUGUUGGAAUGGUUAUACUGUACUUGUAUCUGUUUCUUUAUCUCUUCUUUUGGUGAUGCUUUAUAUUACUUUAUUUUAUUUUUAAAUCUGGAAUGGUUAUACUGUACUUGUAUUGGGUGUAUAUUUGGUGUUGGAUGUUUGAUUGAUAUGAAUGUUCCAGUUAAAAGGCUCUAACUCACAAUGGUUUUGGUUAGAUUUGCUACGUCCAUGGGAUAAGUCAAUUUCACUUUUGUGCCAUUUAAAGGGGCUCUAACUCACAAUAAAUGUUUGGUUCAUCCGCACGUCUUGUCAAAAUGCAUUAACAUUGGUUAUGUGUUUGGUUAUAAUACUUAGUUGAAGCUAAUUUUCAAAUAUUGCUGCUUAAUUGCAAAUUCUGUAAUUCAAUCCUUUCUCAUACUAACAAUGAAUUCAUUUUCACUGUUUUUGUUUUAAGAAAUAGUUUUCAAACUAUUCUACCAGACGCAUUCUCUAAUGUUAAAAUGCAAAAAUAUUAUCUUGUUUUCAUUUUUUGAAAACGUUUUAUGCAGAUGGUUUUGGAAAACAUCACCAGACAGGUCCUUACUUUUCUGUAUUGUCAACCUGUCUUCAGGUCAAGAGAUGCAUGGUUAUUUUGCACGAGAGGAUGAUAUUGGCGGUCCUAGGACUGUAAAGGAUAGCAGAUCAAUCGGAUCAGCAUAUGACCGCUAUCUUCAGAAUGCGGUGACUUUCUUAAGCAUUUGAAACUAUGCUUAUUAUUCAUUGUGAUACAGCUCCCUGUUUUUGUAUUUGUACCAAAACAUUAUCCUACUUUCUUUUAAAGGAAAUGCCUUCGUACACUUCUGGAGAAGCGAGUACUUUUGGUGGAGCUGGAAUGGGAAGGGCUGUUGGUGGUGGAAUGUCAGGUCCUCCAAUGGCUGAUCAUUCUAUGAGGGGUCGUCCUGGAGCUAUGUCUUCUGAUCUACUAACAAAUGGUCGAAAUAUGAAUCUUGCUAAUCAGCUCCCAGUAGAUGCAACGGCUAGGCCUGGACGUGAAACAGUUCCUUUGCCUCUGGAUGCAUCCAGCACUUUAUAUGUUGAAGGACUUCCUCCUGACAGCACAAGGAGGGAAGUAGCUCGUAUCCUUUAUGAUCUUUCUAUUAUGCUUAAGAGUUAGUGCAUUUUGCUGUUUCCAAUCUUAUUGCUUAACCCAAUAAAUUUUCCAUCGCUGAUCCUUUACAUUACUCCAAGAUAUCUUUCGUCCUUUUGUGGGAUACAAAGCAGUGAGGCUUGUGAGCAAAGAGUCCAAACAUGUAUGUGGGGGAGGAUUAUUGUAAACAAUUACUUUUCUUAGUCAUUCUGUUUUUAUUGUUCACUCUGACUUGAGAUUCUUGUUGUGCUACUUGAUUUGACUUUUGGGAAGUUUAUAAUCUGUCUUCACACUAAUAUUCCGGUUUGUCCAUAAUGCAGCGUGGUGGGGACCCUCUUAUUCUUUGUUUUGUGGAUUUUGAAAAUCCAGCCUGUGCAGCAACUGCUAUGAGUGCGUUGCAAGGUGAUUGCUUUUUCUUGUCAUCAACCUUGGUGGCUAUCAGUUUCAAAGAAAGCUUGUUUCUUCCUUUUGUUUUUAUUUGUUUCCUUUAUAACUUUGUAACUGCUAUUUCAAUGGUACCUUAUUCAAUCAUGUAAAUGGUAAAUUUAUGCUAGAAUUCUUCAUGCAUAGCCAGGUGUAAAGAGGAUGAGGCAGUUCACAAAAAUGUUAUAGAUGGUUUCUUGUAAUUGGAGUUUAUGAUACCUCUACACUCUAGAUCCUGUAGAACUAGCUUGCGUUGCUCAUUAUAAUUUCCCAUGCUAGUGGUUUUUGAAAUGCUGGAAGAUGCUGACAUUUGUGUUGCUUUCGCAGGUUAUGAAAUGGACGAACACGCUCCAGAUUCUAAUUACUUGCGGCUGCAGUUUUCUCGGUUCCCAGGUCCCAGGUCUGGACCUGGACGUAACAAGAGGUGAUAGGCAUUAGGUAAUGAGAAACAUCUGUGUUGACGUAAUCAAGAUUAUAUUAGCUCUUAUACAUUCCAUAUAUAUUCUCCUUUCUGUAGUGGUAACCACAUUGUACCCAGAAUAUACAAUGUUAAUUGCUCAGGCUUGGGCACACACUAACUGUAAGUACUUGUUAUGCACGCUGUUGUUUCCAGGUAGUGAAUUCAGAUAGUUUUAUAGUAGUUCUAUUUAACGGAGAUCUGAUUUUGCAUUUCCAUGGUCUACGAAAUUUACUGAAGGAAUGUUUUUAAUUCUGAAUAUCUUCUUCUCUUUGACGAAAUUUACUGAAGGAAUGUUUUUAAUUCUGAAUAUCUUCUUCUCUUUGACAAUAUACCAUGUAUAGACUACCGCAAAAUUAGUAGAGAUAGUUUCCAUACAGAUUGUUUCCAUAUUCUGGAGGACUUCCAUUGCCGGAGUAUCUUGCCACCAUAGUGUCCCGUGCCAAUGACAUAAUGUGUUGUGGAGACACUUCAAAUGGCACUAGGCAUGUGUUGUACCUGUCCCAUGAAAGUUGCUCUCCAUAUUUAGAAGCGGGAAUCAUUCUUGGGGAUGGAGAUACAUAUGAAGAAGAAUAAAACCCUAAUCAAAGGGGUGAAAUCUUCCACAUUUGAUCACCAAAUUAGGUGGCUUAAGCAUUCAAGUGCAACAUGAAAUGAACUGCCUCCGUACAAGAGUAGUUAGAAGCAAUCUGGAUGUUGCAAUCCUAAUGGGCCAAGAGUUGGAUUAUAGAACUAGAAAUGCUUGUAGUCUUAUAGAUGUGGCUAGCUGCCGAGGCACAAUCCCCUUGAAAACUAGUGGUUUUUUAGCAUGAUUUGCAGGCUUCCGUUAUAGAUAUUGUAUGGGAAGUGAUUUCCCAACUCUCUUUCUUACCUCGUACAACUCCCUUUUUUCUUAGGUUUAGGGUUGGAUAAAUUAAAGGAGAAUCAAUUAAAAGAACAAAAGGUGAAUGCAUAAGGAGAAAACGAAUGAAACCCUAAUCAAAGUUGUGAAAUCUUCCACAUUUGAUCGCCAAAUUACUGAUGGAGAUGCUGCUUUCUCCUUGUAUUUAGGGUUGGAUAAAUCAAAGGAGAAUUAAACGAAAGAAACAAAAGAUGAAUAACGUGAUUGCAGGAGGAGAAAACGGGAAUGUGAAGAUCACUACCCUAUUUAAUUUGUCUUUUAUUGUAGGUUGCACUGCCUGUAGAACUGUAGAAGAGCAAAGACAGUGCAUGAUGAGAAUAGACAGUGCAUGGUGUCAUGUCUAUUGGUGUUAGAAAUUUGAUCCGAGUCUUUCCUUUUUGGAUUACAGUGAAGGACUGAGGCUUAUGCUAUAUCGUCCCUCCCAAUGCUAAGCACUAGCUAGUGGGCUGCCGAUUACAUCACAUGGGCUUUGAACUCUGUCAAUUAUUUCAAAAGACCUUUGCCUCUUCAAUGAGAGCCUCUAACCCAUAAUCCUAUGCUCCUAGAGCUAGAGCUUCUCCCCACCCUUCUUGGCAUUAACACACAGCUGGGAUAUACUUUUGUAUCUGUUUCUUCACGUGAUUAAUGAUUCGUUUGAUUGCUUUCUUCAAAAGGCACUUAUACUGUAACUGCUUUUGUUGUAAACACUUUGAUUUUUUUUUAUUGAACAUCCAAAGUGUUACACAGAAAAAAGCACUUAAAAAGUGCCUCCUGAAAGAGCAUAUGAUAGGUGCUUCUCUAAAAAACACUAUUACGAGCCAAAAGCACUUCUAAAUUUUUUUUGCCAAGCACAACAUAAAACGCUUUUGGCUUUUAUAGAAGCAAUCUCAAACGAGCCCUAAGUAAAAAGAGGUUUAUAUAGGCCACUAGACCCAAACGAAAGAGAAAACUAAUAGUGGGCAAUGAAUUGGUUUUCGAUCUACCGUCAAAUUGGCAUAGAUUAUGAUUCUCUCCCUUCUUCUUUCCAUCCCCUCCUCUCACAUUCUCUAUUUUGUCUUUCUCUUUCUAUAAAAACUUAAUAUAAGAUGUUGACGUAGCUUAACCGUGACCGUUCAAAUAAGAGGGGAGGGAAGGGGAGGGAAGAAAAGAGGGGAGAGAAUCCUACUCCAAUUGGCACAACAUUCGGCAUUGUUUUGCAAGGAUGCUUUCUUCUUAGCAUUGAUUUACACACACUCUAGUAUGUGGUAUAAAACGAGCGAGGGUUUGGCUGGAGAACGAGUCUGAGUCGUUAAUGCCAUGUGGGCUGGAGGGUUUCAUUUGGUGCCAUUACUCCUUUUCGUGUUUCUAUCAUCCUUUUGGAACUGGAAGAGAAGUGGAGGGGAAAAAGGUAGUUUAGGGCAAAAAGGAUAUUGAGUUUAUAAACCAGGAAAAUGGCUAAGCAAUUAUUUGGUGCCAAUGUGACCCUUACCAAAAUAUAGACUAGUUGUGGUAAAAAAGAAAAAGGCAAAAGGGGGUAACUUUAAAUACAAAUUGUACCAAAGUGUAAAUUGUCCCACAGCUUGUCCAGGGACCAGAUCAUUGAGUUGUUGCUGCAAGCCUGCAAGGAGAAAGUUGUGGAUUAGAUAGACGCAUCGUCUUCGUUUGGUAUCAUUCCAAGUCGUCCUGGGUGUUUCUUCUUCAAUUUGGCCUCUUUCUUCCUUUGGAUUUUUGAGCUCAUGAGCAAAUUGAUUGUCGUUUUCUGUUUCCUGAAGACAAAAUUUGACUGUUUGAAAAAACACUUUUUCAUGAAAAAUUAGUUUGAAAUCUAUUCUACACCUAAAUGGACAUCAAUCAUUAAUUUUGUGUUAACUAAGAAUGUAUGUAUGAAUUCUUGUAUUAGGAUUUAGUAGUAUCUCUCUUUAUUUUUAAGUGAGAAACCUUAAGUUUGAUUCUCAUAAAUUACGAGUUCGAAACCAAACUCUUCUCGGCCCAUUAGUGUAACUCUGUUAGGCUUUCAUCCCUGAUAUCGUUGUAUAACAAAACUAUAUGCAUGAAUUAUUACUUGAGGACGGAGGAAAAAACAAAUUCACUUGACUUAUUUCCAAAUUAAGGCUUUAUUUCUUCCUGAUUUUAGAAUUACCUGAUUAUCUAGCCUAUGCUCAUACCACAUUGAACUUCAACGAUUCAAACUGUUUAUUUUUUAAGUUGCACCUCAUAGAUCAUUUUUGUGAAAUAUUAGCUAAAUUAAAAAUAUAUGAGGUAUCUAAUUGAGUACAAAAAAAAAUUGACGAACACUAUAUAUUCUAAGAAGCAUAUGAAAUUUCAUCUUAACAAUUAAAUAGGCAAAUAAUUUCGGAUUGAAUUAAAUUUUUGUAAGGAUUGUCUAUUAAUUAAGACUUAUAAAAUAGAAGGUACAUAUCGUUGAAAUUUAAUAUACUGUAAGCUCCACAACUAAUCCUCAUUUAAAAAAAAUAGAAAUCCCUUGUUAAGGCAUGUGCUUUUGAGUAGGUAAAAUUUGAAACGUGAGAUGUCGUUCACUAUGGAAACAAAGAUCGAAAGCCUUCAUGGUCCCAUUCCUUGAAUCAGAACAAAAGAACUUUAAAGAAAAGUCCUUUAACUCUGUCCAACUUUGGAUACUUUUGUUCAUGCAUGCAUUCACUGACUGAUCUGAUCUCGUUGUUUUGAAGGGAAGAGAUUUUUCAGUGUAAUCGGUAUAUGAGUUGGUACAUCACUUGUUAAUAUACAAAUGAUGAGAUAUAUGUGUUAAAAAGUUAAUAACUUAAAAAAUAAAAUUUUCCACCACUUACAUAAAAACAUGUGAUAUACUACUUGUAUUUCCGUCACAAUGAAAAAUUUCUCCUUGAAGGAUAAGAGAGGAAAUUCCAGACUAAACUACGUGGCACUACAUGCAGCAUGUCAAUUACAUCAACUCUUCAAGCUUUCAACCCUUUCAUGGCAUCUUCAAAGCAUAUGCCUAACUUCUUAGAAAUAUGACCAACAUCUAACAUUUUUGUAAUCCAUAAAGAAAUACAUACGUUAACAUUUAGAAACAAAAUCCAGACAAUAAGAGAGAGAUGGCUGUCCAGAAAAAAAGUAAGAGACAGAUGCAUCCAUUGAUAUAAAAAAGAAAGAAAAAAGAGAUGCAUCAACAACUCAAUAUUUAUUACCUAUUGAAUCGCAGUUUUACAUACAUAUCAUUGCUAAUGAGAUUGGCACUAUUAGUUAUCGAGGACAUAGCAAUCUGUAUUGUAUUUACAAUUAUAUGAGUUAAACUUCAUACAUCCUCCGAUUAAAUGACAAUAACUACUAUAAAAAUGUUUAUAUGUAAGUAGGCUACAUAAAUACACAUAAACAAAUAAGUUCUUGUAUAUAUGCUAUACUUUGAUUUGUUUAUAACAGGAAAAGGUUCCACAUUAUUGCUAGCUAGGCUAAGCUCACAUCCCUCUCACUUAAUGUAGAUAAUAUCAUUUGUUAAAAAUAAAAAAAAGACUCAACAAGGAAUCACUAUUUGUUUCUUUAUAACCAUAAAUUUAUGUAGAGCAACCGAUUGAGUAUCUCAAAGUUCUUAUUCGUAUACAACACACGUUGAGACAGGUAAUAAUUAUAACAAAAUUAAAGACUAUAAUCUUAUAACGUUUUUAGAUUAGCUAAAACAUUGGUAUACAUAUUUAGCUUGCUAAAAACAUAUGUCGAAAUGUGCCACACCUGGAGGAUUUGUAACAAAUUCAUCGUUUUAGAACAAUAAGAAAUGACACGUUGCCUGUAAGAAUUUUAUAGUUUGUUGAAUGCCAUCAACAUCCAUCACGUUUGAAAAUAUGGGCGGCAUUGUCUGGGUUGUAAGACCCCUAUAUUCGUUUGUUCCUGUGCUAAACAAGGAUGGCCUCCCUUGCCCUCCUCUUUAGAUUUCUGUUAGGAUGAGAUUAAGGUGACUUGGGGCUUGUUCCAAGUUUGUGUUUUCUACCUUCUUCUCAUUGUGUAGUUCUUGUUGGUCUCUCUAGGCCUUCUGUUUCUUUUGGCUUCGGCCCUGGUAUUGAUUUUCCCAGUUUCUCAAAAAAAAAAAAAAAAAAAAGUUAUGGGAGUCCCUCUCUCACAUUAAUAAAGUCUGGACCCAAGAAAAAGCAAAAGGAUCCGGCAAGGAUCCGUUUGCCGGAUCCUUUUCCACAGGUUUGGGUACAUUAAUGAUCACUACAAGAAAAAGGAAAAGGAUCCGGCAAUAAAGUUUGGACCCAAGAAAAAGGAAAGGGAUCCGGCAGGGAUCCGUUUGUUGGAUCAUUUCAAAAUUUAAAAUUUAAAAUUAAAUAUAAAUAAUACCUACAAAAACUGACCGCACAAUGUAUGAUGAACGAUCACGAUCACGGGAUCCCUAGGAAAAGAAUCCGGCGAGGAUCCUUUUCCCGAGAAAAGUAGGCUUUAGUCACGAUUUGUUAAGAUUAAUCUAACCUAAAAGCUAUACCACAUUCUAAACACAAAAUUUGGUAAGAAUAUGAUGAUUUAUUUUAUUUUCUCAAACUAUAGAGCAGUUACGUACUCACACACCGGCGACAAUUAUCCUCCCCCAAAUCUGGGUAUAUUUCUACUAAAAAAAAUGUUUACAUAUAGAAACCGUAUAGUAAGUUUAUUGAAAUUGGCUCUGUAUUAAUGGAAUCUCCGCAUCCGUACAUUAAAUUAGAGUGGAACUCGAGGAAAUGGAGUACAUACGAAGAUAAGAAGACGAAGAAGAAAACUACAAACUUGGAGCUUCAAGGAGAGGGACUGAGCAGGGAGUAUAAAGAAAACAUUGUAUUUUUCUUCGAAGAUCUUUCACAUUUUCUUCUUGGUUUCAAGGAGAGGGAACUGAGCAGGGAGUAUAAAGAGCCAAAGCCCAGAAUUCCACAAUGAAAAAGAAAACAUUGUAUUUUUCUUCGAAGAUCCUUCACAUUUUCUUCUUCGCUUUACAGAAUCAAAUAGCAUAUUCUCACCCCCAAGAAACGAUAUAAGAAAACAGCCAAAUUAAGGUAAAUUCGAUAUAAUGCAUUUUUUUAUAGCAACUUGGCAAACAAAAACAUAGUAGAAGAAAACAAGGAAUAUACAAAGAAAUUAAGGAAGUUUGGGAAAACGAAGAAAUAUAAUAAAGGACCAACUCUCAAUGAGUUUAUAAUACUAUAUACGGUGCAAAUGUAUAUGUUCAGGAAAUAAACUUUUAGCGAAAAUAAGCUGCAAAUUUGACUAAAUUUUUCUUCAUAUUUACACUCAAUUUUUUUCAAGAAUAUAUAUAGAGUUUGGCCAAAGGAAUUAACUUCGUUCCUUAACGAUUGAGGAGGAGUUCCUCCCCAAUUCACAUUGUGGCUGAUUAUGGACCUUCAUUCUUAUAAUCGGAAGAGUAUAGAAACUACUCUUUUUAUCGUCGAAUCCGGAAGGAAGAAGUGGUUGUAGCUUUGAAGAAGAUGAAGCAUAAAAAAGCAAUAGGCCCAGACGAUAUACCAAUCGAAGUGUGGAAACUUUUGGGAGAGACGGGUAUAACAUGGCUCACUGACCUUUUCAAUAGGAUUUUGAAAACGAAGAAGAUGCCAAAUGAGUGGCGAACGAGCACUUUGGUGCCUAUCUACAAGAAUAAGGGCGACGUACAAAAUUGCAUGAACUAUAGGGGUAUUAAGCUAAUGAGUCAUACAAUGAAGCUCUGGGAGAGAGUCAUUGAGCAUAGAUUGAGGCAAGAGACACGGGUUUCGGACAACCAAUUCGGGUUCAUGCCAGGGCGCUCAACCAUGGAGGCAAUCUAUCUCUUACGAAGAUUGAUGGAAAGAUAUAGAGAUGGGAAAAAGGAUUUACACAUGGUCUUUAUAGAUUUGGAAAAAGCGUAUGAUAGGGUCCCAAGAGACAUUCUUUGGAGGAUUUUAGAGAAGAAAGGAGUACGAGUAGCAUAUAUCCAAGCUAUAAAGGAUAUGUAUGAAGGAGCAAAGACUGCCGUAAGAACUCAUGAAGGACAAACCGAAAGCUUUCCCAUAACUGUAGGAUUACAUCAAGGCUCAUCCUUAAGUCCUUACCUUUUUGCGUUGGUAAUGGAUGAGUUAACAGGACAUAUUCAAGAUGAUAUUCCUUGGUGUAUGCUUUUCGCAGACGAUAUAGUGUUGAUAGAUGAAACUCAGGAAGGGGUAAAUGCAAAGCUUAACCUUUGGAGAGAAGUGUUGGAAUCUAAAGGUCUUCGCCUAAGCCGAUCAAAGACAGAAUAUAUGGAGUGCAAGUUCAGUGCAAAUGGAGGCCAAAACGAGUUAGGGGUGAGGAUCGGAGAUCAAGAAAUACCAAAGAGCGACCGUUUUCGUUACCUAGGAUCUAUCUUGCAAAAGAACGGAGAAUUAGAUGGAGAUCUCAACCAUAGAAUACAAGCUGGAUGGAUGAAGUGGAAGAGUGCAUCCGGCGUGUUGUGUGACCGCCGUAUGCCACUGAAGCUCAAGGGAAAAUUUUAUAGGACGGCAAUAAGGCCGGCGAUGCUGUAUGGCACAGAAUGUUGGGCGGUGAAACAUCAACACGUACACAAAAUGGGUGUAGCGGAGAUGAGGAUGCUUCGUUGGAUGUGUGGGCACACGAGAAAGGAUAAGAUUAGGAAUGAGGAUAUCCGGGGUAAAGUAGGAGUAGCCGAAAUUGAAGGAAAGAUGAGAGAAAAUCGGUUACGGUGGUUUGGACAUGUGCAAAGAAGGCCUACUGACGCUCCGAUUAGAAGAUGCGACUAUGGGACAGAGGUUCAGGGCCGAAGGGGUAGAGGAAGACCUAGGAAAACUUUGGAAAGAGACUCUAAGAAAAGACUUAGAGUACUUGGAUCUAACGAAGGACAUGACACAGGAUCGAGCACAAUGGCGUUCUAAGAUUCAUAUAGCCGAUCCCACUCAGUGACUUGGAUUUUCCAAGUCUCCAACCGAGAAGUUUUCCUCACUCGGGAAAUUAAGGGAACACUACCCCAACCUACAUGCUCCACUCAGAAAGCUUCAACAUACAAGCUUCAACAAAAGAAAAUUCAAAGAACUUAGCGAAGAAGGCUUUGGUGUAUUUAACACAAUACGUUGAAAUGAAGGAAAGCUUAUUUAUUGAUAUCCCCGAUAAGCUACAAAUAUGUACAUAUACAUGAGUCAAAAUAAACACACAAGAGGGAGCCUUCACAAAGGUUGCUUAGGAGAAGUCUCAGCAGUCGGUAGAGCCCCAGAAAGAGAAGGCACCGGAGGGGGAUCAUUUGGAGCCUCAGUACUGGACAGAACCCUAGAAGGAGGAGGCAUCAGAGGUUGAUCAUUUGGAGCUUCAUUACGCGGUACAGCCCCAGAAGACGAAGGCAAUAAAUGCCUUUGGAACAAACCCACAAAUCUCUGAUGAUCAAGUAAAACCUGACCAUCAGUUUCCUUCAUCUGGUCAAGCUUCCUCUUCAUGUUUGUAGCAUAGUCAUGUGCGAGCCGGUGCAACUGUUUAUUCUCAUGCUUGAGCCCUCUAAUCUCCUGUUUGAGACUCAUCACUUCAGCCGCCAAUGAUUCAACUUGGCGGGUUCGAGCAAAUAGGCGUUGGGCCAUAUUAGACACAGAACCUGCACACUGAACACUGAGAGCCAGCGAAUCCUUAACAGCUAACUCAUCAGACCGUUUGGAAAGUAGUCUGUUAUCUUUGGGAGUGAGAAGGUUCCUGGCCACCACCGCAGCGGUCAUAUCAUUCUUCAUCACGGAAUCCCCAACGGUAAGAGGACCAGUAGGGGAGACGAAGGAUGGGCGCCAUAUGUUGUCUGGAGAAGGCGGGGCUGCCUCUUCAACAAGGUUCAAGUCAAAACGACGGUCGGAGGGGCCAGACAUUUUCAAAGGUGUUGAAGAGAGAAGAGGUCGGACAAAUCAAGAUCUUAGAAGUGCAAGAAUGAAGCUUCUACUGGUGGAGAUUCAAGUGUGCUUUGGAACUUAAUGCCAGCCCCUAUAAAAAUCUGCACUCGACGGAGCUCGCCUGCUCAGAAAUCGAAGAGGCGUUUGCUUUCUCAAAAGCUGGGCUGCUUAGAGAUCACGAGGGUUGAUCUCAGAAAUCGAAGAGGCGUUUGCUUUCUCAAAAGUUGGGCUGCUCAAAGACCACGAAGGCCGAUCUCAGAAAUCGAAGAGGCGCUCGCUUUCUCAAAAGCUGGGCUCCCCAGAGACCACGAGGGCCGAUCUCAGAAAUCGAAGAGGCACCUACUUUUCCAGCCUUGUCAGCACCUGUCACACGCACACUCAGCUUUGCGGAAAUUAUGGGCAUUCUGUCGAAGACUUCUGGGGAAGUAGAAAACACAUGAAUCUUACUGUUCAAUCACCCACUUCCCACACGCAACAAUAGCUCAUGGGUACCACAGAUAACUUUGCCAAAGUUCUCUGCCAAAGUUGAGCACGUGAAGCUUGCAGCUCCCACUACAUCGCUCUGACCAAGAAGGGUAAAAGAAUAGCAAAGAAACAGCACUAACAAAGUUUAGACCCAUAAAUUUUGAAGGUCUAGCUACCAUAUUAUUACCCACAAGGGUAAAGGAACAGUACCACUGCUGGAUAAUUGGAAAGUCCCUGUGUGUCAACCUCUGUGCUUCGUGGCAAGGUAGACUAGCAAACAUGCCCAACCUUUACUCACAUUCGAGAAAACACUCCCAAUAAGAUUGCUUGCUCCAAAAUCGAAGAGGCACCGUCCUCCGAAUCUCGAGAGCCAGACUCCCAACAUGACUACUUUCUUAAAAAUCGAAGAGAGGGUAAAGGAACAGUACCAUUGCUGGAUAAUUGGAAAGUCCCUGUGUGUCAACCUCUGUGCUUCGUGGCAAGGUAGACUAGCAAACAUGCCCAACCUUUACUCACAUUCGAGAAAACACUCCCAACAAGAUUGCUUGCUCCAAAAUCGAAGAGGCACCGCCCUCCGAAUCUCGAGAGCCAGACUCCCAACAUGAUUACUUUCUCAAAAAUCGAAGAGACACUGCUCCCCGAAUCUUCGAGAGCCAGACCCCCAGCAUGAUUGCUUUCUCAAAAAUCGAUGAGGCAUCGUUCUCCGAAUCAAUCGAAGAGGCGCUCGCUUUCUCAAAAGCUGGGCUGCUCAGAGACCACGAGGGCCGAUCUCAGAAAUCGAAGAGGCACCUACUUUUCUAGCCUUGUCAGCACCUGUCACACGCACACUCAGCUUUGCAGAAAUUAUGGGCAUUCUGUCGAAGACUUCUGGUGAAGUAGAAAGCACAUGAAUCUUACUGUUCAAUCACCCACUUCCCACACGCAACAAUAGCUCAUGGGUACCACAGAUAACUUUGCCAAAGUUCUCUGCCAAAGUUGAGCACGUGAAGCUUGCAGCUCCCACUACAUCGCUCUGACCAAGAAAGGUAAAAGAAUAGCAAAGAAACAGCACUAACAAAGUUUAGACACAUAAAUUUUGAAGGUCUAGCUACCAUAUUAUUACCCACAAGGGUAAAGGAACAGUACCACUGCUGGAUAAUUGGAAAGUCCCUGUGUGUCAACCUCUGUGCUUCGUGGCAAGGUAGACUAGCAAACAUGCCCAACCUUUACUCACAUUCGAGAAAACACUCCCAACAAGAUUGCUUGCUCCAAAAUCGAAGAGGCACCGUCCUCCGAAUCUCGAGAGCCAGACUCCCAACAUGACUACUUUCUCAAAAUCGAAGAGAGGGUAAAGGAACAGUACCAUUGCUGGAUAAUUGGAAAGUCCCUGUGUGUCAACCUUUGUGCUUCGUGGCAAGGUAGACUAGCAAACAUGCCCAACCUUUACUCACAUUCGAGACAACACUCCCAACAAGAUUGCUUGCUCCAAAAUCGAAGAGGCACCGCCCUCCGAAUCUCGAGAGCCAGACUCCCAACAUGAUUACUUCCUCAAAAAUCGAAGAGACACUGCUCUCCGAAUCUCGAGAGCCAGACCCCCAGCAUGAUUGCUUUCUCAAAAAUCGAAGAGGCAUCGUUCUCCGAAUCUCGAGAGCCAGAUACCACAGACCACUUUUUCAAAGUGCUCUGACAGAGUUAAAACAUGUGAAACUGGCAGCUCCCACUACCGUGCUAUGACCAAGCAGGGUAAAGGAAUAGCAUUACUACUUGUUGUUAGGGAGACUCCUAUAUAUGUCGACCUCCAUCCCCAACGGACAGGCAGACCUGCAAAAAUGCUCAACCCUUCAUCAUAUCUGAGAGGGCACUCCCAACGAAGCCUUUCGAAAUAUUCAGCUUUCUUUCCCCCCGAUAAUACCUCUGCAAACAAGCUAUACUAGAGCAAGAAUAUCUCAUAUCAUCAGGGUUAAAAGCAAGAGUAUCCCAUAUCAUGCUUUUUCCCUGUCUUUUCCUUUGGCCUUGUUUUUACCUGCAAGACAAGGAGAAAGAGAGCAAUCAGUCAGCACUUGGAAUCAAGCUUCCAGCCAGGAACUGACUGCCUGGAACCCCUUACCUGAUUACUUACCUGGCAUUGCUCUCGAGUACUCAUCUUCAACAUCUUAUGUUUCCAGGGAAGAUUCCGCAUCUGCUUGAGGAACAGAUAGGGCAAGUGCGAAGGAUACAAGGAAGCAUGUGGAGACAAGCGUAACAGCACACGUGCCGAUACAUCCAUUACUCUGUCAAAAGCAAAAGUAUCCCAUAUCAGCAGGGUGGAACGUACUCUAGAUUUGAUGGACUUGUUUUGACCCUCAAAUUCUUCAGUCGGCCUUAUACUCUGGAGGAAACCAGAAAACCCUCCAGCUCAGUUCAAGAAUAAGCCUGUGGAAAGUUACUUCUUCAAAAGCAAAAGUAUCUCAUAUCAUCUCUUCUCAUUUUUCUUCUCUUUAUCCUUCAUGCUGCUGCAAGAUGGGGAGAAGGUGAACAAUCAGUCGGAGCUCUGAUUGCUUACCUUGUCUGUCACCUCUUUCAGCAGACCCCCUAGCUCGGCGACUUGGGGGACUCCUACUACAUGGUUUGUAUCGCGCUUGACCAAGCCUGAAACUACAAGUAAGCUUCAAGUGAAAUUGAUACAUUACCUUGUGCAUCUCCACCAGUUAAAGAUACCACCCCUGGAUGGAGGAAGAGUACUUCCAGAGAAGAUGCCACAUCUACCUAUGAGACAGAUAAGGCAAGUCAAGACGACACCACACUCCGAUACUUAGAAGUUUCGUGAUUACGAGAUCAUUCUCCCACAAUAUUUCCUAAUGUCAUUUGUACUAAAUCAUUCACUUGUACUCACUAAAGGAGAGCUUGAACCUAUGUACUUGUGUAAACCCUUCACAAUUAAUGAGAACUCUUCUAUUCCGUGGACGUAGCCAAUCUGGGUGAACCACGUACAUCUUGUGUUUGCUUUCCUAUCUCUAUCCAUUUAUAUACUUAUCCACACUAAUGACCGGAGCAAUCUAGCGAAGAUCACAAAAAGCGACCGUUUUCGCUACCUAGGAUCUAUCUUGCAAGAGAACGGAGAAUUAGAUGGAGAUCUCAACCAUAGAAUACGAGCUGGAUGGAUGAAGUGUAAGAGUGCAUCCGGCGUGUUGUGUGACCGUCGUAGGCCACUGAAGCUCAAGGGAAAAUUUUAUAGGACGGCAAUAAGGCCAGCGAUGUUGUAUGGCACAGAAUGUUGGGCGGUGAAGCAUCAACACGUACACAAAAUGGGUGUAGCGGAGAUGAGGAUGCUUCGUGGGAUGUGUGGGCACACGAGAAAGGAUAAGAUUGGGAAUGAGGAUAUCCGAGGUAAAGUAGGAGUAGCCGAAAUUGUAGGAAAGAUGAGAGAAAAUCGGCUCCGGUGAUUUGGACAUGUGCAAAGAAGGCCGAAUGACGCUCCGGUUCGAAGAUGUGACUACGGGACAGAGGUUCAGGGCCGAAGGGGUAGAGGAAGACCUAGGAAAACUUUGGAAGAGACUCUAAGAAAAGACUUAGAGUACUUGGAUCUAACGGAGGACAUGACACAAAACCGAGCGCAAUGGCGUUCUAGGAUUCAUAUAGCCGACCCCACUUAGUGGGAAAAGGCUUUGUUGUUGUUGUUGUUGUUGUAUUCUUAUAAUCGGAAUUAUUCAUAUUAUAAAUUACUGUGUCAAUAUCAUCUCCACAAAAAAAAUCAAUUAAAUAUAAGAUCGUUUGGUCAUGAAACUGUGUAAAAAUAGAUGAACCGAUCCGGUACAUGAAUUCCGAAACUUCUAUCUACUUGCUAUAAUUUAUUGACUAAACAAUCUUAGUUUUAAUUAAUUUUUUUUAGAGAUGAUCUUUAAUUAUAAAGUAAUUUAUAAUAUGAAUGAUUCUGAUCAUAAGUACGAACUUCUUCUCAAUCUUGAGAAGCCAAGCCUUCCUCAAAAGUUAAAUAAAAAACAAAACCAAAAUGAUGCUCGGCUUCCUGGGUACUCAGCUAAACUCUCCACCUCCUUUCAUCUUACAAGCUUCUAGAUUUAGAUUUGUCUCAAAUGACAUGCCAACUAAUCUGCCCAGCUCAAUUUUGAUUCUUUGAAAUUUCCAGUGCCUCUACUUUUUCAUUUCUAAAUCUUACUUACUCCCAUUAUAUAUAAUUAGUUUUUUUUAUAUAUAUAGAUUUAUAAAGAUGCUUUGUCUAGAUAUGAAAGACAUAGUAGUGAUUCAAAGAGAUCAUUUGGAGCCAAAAAUAGUUAGGUGUAGUCAAAUUCGGAUUUGAGAGUAUUUUAAAAGACUUUAAAAUCCUAGUAUAGUCAAUUAAAAGAUUUUAAAGGAUUUUAAACUCUAUCCAAAUCUAAGUGUAUUAAAAAAAUUAAGAUUUUGGAGGAUUUCAAUAAGUUGUGGAUUUUGUAGGAUUUGAAAGCAAGAAGUAUGUCACAGUCCCGGAGAUGUACGUUAAUUAUUUAUCGGAGGUGUGAAAAGUCGGAGUUACCCCUGGACGUUGAGUUGUAUUAUUGGUUUAAUUGUGUUUUUGGACCAAUAUUAUUAAAUCCUAAUUGUUUGGAAUCAAUUAGGAUUAGAGUUUGGUGUAUUGUGGGUUGUUGACUAUUUUGGACCACACAUCACUCCAUUCUCUCUCUCACUCCCGUGCACUCUCUCUCGGUUUCACUCUCUCUCUCCUUUGAACUCGUACGGACAAUCACCCAAAACCCUUGAAACUUCACGGAUCGUGGUCAAGGUUGGCACCAUUGUGUUCGUGAAGCUCAGACGAGUCGAUUGGUACCCAUUUCAGGUAAAGAUACCUUCGAAAACCCUAGUUUUUCAUAACCCCCGAUUUGUGCAUUGUUCAUGCACACGUAAUUAUGGAUGGUUUUGGAAUUUGAAGCUUGUAGGAAGCUUAGUGAGGUCCUAAGGAAGCUCGAAGUGCUUCGUUUGAAGGUUUUGGACGUUGGGAUCGUGUGGAUGAAGUUUGGCCAGUUUUUCUUGGAAUUCUCCGGUGAGAUCCCGUGACUUUUAAAACUUUAAAUUAGUAUGAUUGUGUUCUACAAGUUAAGAGCUUCAUUUUGGUAUAAAUUGCGUAAAAAAUGGUGCAAAAAUGAGCAAUAAAUAGGCAGUUGCAGGUUUGCCCAAAAUCCGGUGCCGGUGACACUAUUCCAGCAUCUGGAGGUUGAAGAUGCCGCGCGUGGGGGGCGCGUUUUGCCAUGCCCUUGCCGGAUGAUUGUGUUCUACAAGUUAAGAGCUUCAUUUUGGUAUAAAUUGCGUAAAAAAUGGUGCAAAAAUGAGCAAGAAAUAGGCAGUUGCAGGUCUGCCCAAAAUCCGGUGCCAGUGACAUUAUUCCGGCGUCUGGAGGUUGAAGAUGCCGCGCGUGGGAGGCGCGUUUUGCCGUGCCCUUGCCAGCGCAUGGGAGCUUGAAAAUUUUAUCUAAAAAUUUAGGGAUGAUCCUGAGGUUGUAUAGGUCACUGUGGUGUAUUCAUAUACCUAUUUUGAGCAAUGUAUGAAAAGUUAUUAGUUAGUUUCACCUAUGUGCUUUAAAAUAACGUUUUUAUAGUUAAUUCGCAUAUAGGUGAGGCUUAUCCCAAGGACGAGCGUAUCCACGGGCGACUCGGGGGCUACGACCCUUCGACAUACCAGUGAGUGGGAUUUUGUUUUCAGUAUAUACUUAUACACUAGAUAUAUUUCCUAGAAAUGCAUUUUUUUCAAGGAAACUAUGCUUUGAAAUAGUAUGCCAAAUGCUUUUAUAUUCUGAAUAUGCAUUUCAUGGUUGCAUAUAUAUAUAUAUAUAUAUAUAUAUAUAUAUAUAUAUGUGGUGUUGUGGAGGCACAGGUAAGUUCAGGUAAGUUAUGUUUGGUUAUAUGAAUCAUCGAUAAAGUGAUAUGUGAUUGAAUAAUGUUGAGCUUAUAAAACUGCACCUAAGGUGAUUGUGAUUUAGCCAGAGAUGUGAAGUACAUGCCUGUUUAUUUACGUCACCUCCCGCACUAUAUGCUCAUAUUGGAUCUAAUUUAAGUGCACAGUUUUGUCGUACAGACCUUAUUUAUGGUUCCGACUCGUAGGUGACUAGCGAUUUAUCGCCCGGCUAUUAUGAGAGAGUAAAAUUGAGCAUAAUUAUAUUACACCCAAUCUUGUCUUACAGACCCCUUUUUAGUGGUUCCGACUUAUGUGCAGUACAUUGCCGUAUAGGUCAUUGUAGUGACUCCGGCUAGAUUGACUUUGAGCUAUGAAUUCAACCGUACAGACUAUCACAGGGGUUCCGGCUAACAUAUCAUAUUUCUAUGAAUUUAUUCUUACCUGAAUUGUUUACUCUGUUAUAACUUGGCAUAACAUACAUUUAAAUAUGAUUAUGUGAAGCAUGAAUUGAAUUGAUAUGAUUUCAUAUAUAUAUAUAUAUAUAUAUAUAUAUAUAUAUAUAUUAUGUAUAUGCUUAUAUCUUGGUUUUGGGAAAAAUUAUACAUGUUUGACAGCGAGGGGUUAGUAUAUUGAUAAAUGAAAUGGUUUUGUAAAACAUUUGUUUUUGCCCACUCACGUUUUCUGUUUUGCUCCCUUCCAGGUUUUAACUAAGCUUGCUGUUGGUGGCUUGAGGACGUCGGCAGUUUUGACUUAUCUAAAUAAUAGUAGGACAUUGCUGGUACUGUAUAGCUAGUACUUGUCUUACUGGACUACACCUAGACUUUAUGCUCUGAUUAGGAGUGUUUACUGUUGUAACUAACUUCUAUCACUUUCUGUUUAGUAGUGCACUCUAGUAAAUUGGUUUUCAAUUAUUCGUAUAAUUCUUAUCAUUAUCGCUUCCGCACUGUGCACAUGGCUACGCACCCUCACGUGACGGUCAUCAUGGCUUGAUCUCGGUCGGGGUGUGUCAAAGUAUAUAUAACCAAGACUAAAAAUAAUCCAACCUCACCCUCUAGAAUUUCAAAUCAUUUUCCAUCUGAGCAGUCCUCAGAUCUCUACCAACCCCAGCUACACACAGGUAACCACCAUAUACUUUGGUGGAAUCUCUUAUUAUGACCCUUAGACUUUAAUUAGGCAUGUAUGAUCAUCGAAGGACAUGAUCGAUCUAGGAUUUUGGUUAAUACUACUCUCACACCAUUUUGAUUUUUUUUAAUGUUUGUGGUACUACAAGCACUAUUAAAGUACCACAGCAUCCAUUUGUGGGAAAAUGGCAGUCGGUGGUGAUGGUUGUUGGUGGUUUAGUGCUCAAAAGCUCACCAAAGUUAUAUUGAUCUAUCAAUUGAGAAAGAGAUAGAGCCGUGGUUGUGUGAAAGGGGACCCGAAAAGGGAGGGGAUAAAGUGGUUAUCGAGUACAGUAGGGCAAGGGGAAAGAUUUUUCCUUUUAUUUUCAAUUAAAAAAUUAUAUUAAUAUUAUCACAUCCCAUGCUCGACUCCACCGUAGCACGAUAUUGUCCGCUUUAGGCCCCGACCACGACCACAUGGUUUUGUUUUUGUGAACUCACGCGAGAACUUCCUAGUGGGUCACCCAUCUUGGGAUUGCUCUCGCGCGAACUCGCUUAACUUUUGAGUUCCGAUGGAAUCCGAAGCCAGUGAACUCCCAAAAAGCCUCGUGCUAGGUAGAGAUGAGAAUAUACAUAUAAGGCUUAGAGGAUCCACUCCCCUGGGCGAUGUGGGAUGUUACAAUCCACCCCCCUUAGGGGUCCGAUGUCCUCGUCGGCACACUUCCGACUAGAGAUUGGCUCUGAUACCAAAUUGUCAUAUCCCGGCCCGGGCCCCCACCACAUCCCAAGCUCGACUCCAUCGUAACAUGAUAUUGUCCGUUUUGGGCCCCGACCACACCUUCACGGUUUUGUUUCUAGGAACUCACACGAGAACUUCCCAGUGGGUCACUCGGUUUUGUUUCUAGAAACUCACAUGAGAACUUCCCAGUGGGUCACCCAUCUUGGAAUUGCUCUCGCGCGAACUCGCUUAACUUCGAAGUUCUGAUGGAACUCGAAGCCAGUGAGCUCCUAAAAGGCCUCGUGCUAGGUAGAGAUAAGAAUAUACAUAUAAGGCUUAGAGGAUCCACUCCCCUAGGCGAUGUGGGAUGUUAUAAUCCACCCCCCUUAGGGGCCCGACGUCCUCGUCAACACACUUCCGACUAGAGAUUGGCUCUGAUACCAAAUUGUCACAUCCCGGUCCGGGCCCCCACCACAUCCCAGGCUCGACUCUAUCGUAGCAUGAUAUUGUCCGUUUUGGGCCCCGACCACGCCCUCACGGUUUUGUUUCUAGGAACUCAGGCGAGAACUUCCUAGUGGGUCACCCGGUUUUGUUUCUGGGAACUCACACGAGAACUUCCCAGUGGGUCACCCAUCUUGGAAUUGCUCUUGCGCGAACUUGCUUAACUUCGGAGUUCCGAUGGAACCCAAAGCCAGUGAGCUCCCAAAAAGCCUCGUGCUAGGUAGAGAUGGGAAUAUACAUAUAAGGCUUAGAGGAUCCACUCCCCUGGACGAUGUGGGAUGUUACAGUAAUAUCAAUAACUUAUUGUUGGGUUCGUUAAGCAAGUGGGCAAUUAGGUCCGUUUAUGAGAGCAUAGGUGAAAUCUUUCGAUGUCGACUAGCACAGCUCAAUUCGGAGUCCUAGUGGACAUUCUGGGUUGGUGUCCAAAAUCCACCACAAUCCACCAAAAUCUACAAACUAAAACUAUUCAAAUUCUUUAAAAUCCAUAUGAAUUUUGUAAAAGUCUUAAAUCCUCCUAAACCCUAUCAAAUUUAUCACUUUUAAAAUCCUUUAAAAUCUUAGUUUGACUACACCCCCUUAGUAUUUUAAAUUGGCUUUACUACAUUGCACAUUGAGAUGAAUUUUUAAAAUGUCCAUCUAGCUUAGCUAGCUACCAUGAAAGCUACAUGAAAGCUGACUGUCAAUUUUCCAAGGGUUUUUCCACAUGAAAUGGCAUGAAAUGGGUUAAUUUCACUUUAAAUAGUUGAUAUAAAAUGAAAACAAAAGUACAACUGGUUGAGAACCUUCCUUUCAUGUUCUCCGUAUCUUAGAGGAUAACAACAGUAGCAAGUUAGGCUGGAUCAAAUACAAGAAUGAACAUGAGAACGUGCAUGCAUGGUUACCUUUUCCUUUUGUUUUUUACAGAGAAUCUUGAGAAGCAGUCAAGGGCAACGUUAUGUUUUUACUACUGAGAUCUGUGUGCUAAAAGGAGAUUACGUAGCUAGGUUCAGUCUUCACCUAACACUCCUAUUAUCACUUGUGACUGUAAAAGAUAUACUGUUGGGGUUGGCUGACGUUAAUUAGUUGUUCAUAUUGAUUUGAGAAAUUUGAUAGAAAUGAGGAUUAACGAAUUACAAUUAGAGCUGGCAAAUAGUUGGGUUUAGUUGGUUUGGGUUAGAUUCACCACUAAUUGAUUUCUACACGGGUCAUUCAAAUUCAAUCCAUUAGCUUAUGCAAUGGUGGAGCGAUGAAUUUUUCACCGGGUGAGCUAGCUUAAAGAUUUAAAUAUUUAUAAAAAAAAAACAUGAUACUGUAUUUUCACCGUAUUAGCUAACUAAAGAAAAUUUUGACAAGGUGAGCCAAGAAUAAACAAAUACUUGUUUAAAUUCAAACAAAUCCAAACUUGUACAUAUACAAGAAUUGAUGAGAAAAAAAGAAUGUAAGAAAAAGAGAUGGUUUGUAAACUGUAUUUUAUAAUUUUAUAUAGUCAAACCGAGAGAAUUUGGAUCAGUGACUAAUAUAUGGUGGACUACAUUCGAAAAUUAAUAAAAAUUACAUGUCAAAUUUUAUUUUUGGGCUAUAGCCCAAAAUAGCCCUUAACAUGGCUCUGCCAGUGAGCUUAUGGUAAAAAUGGUUGACCCGAAAUGACUUGUUUUGUUAACGAGCUAAUCAUUUCAUCCAGUAACGAUUUUUUUUUUUUUUUUUUUUUUUUUUAACAUUCAGCUGAAACCCAACUAUUUCGCGAACUAUUUUAACGGGUCAACCGUUGGUCUAGUUUUGUACUUGCCAACAAAACAAAGAACAUAUGAAAUAGUAAAUUAUUUCAAAGUAAAUCAAAUAGCGACGUAGAUUAUAUAACAACGAGUAAUCGUUUUAACAAUUAAAAAUUUCUUUUCAUUGGUUCAUACAAUUUUCGAAUUGGUAUCAACUUUAGUGUUAUUGUAUGUUUGUACCAUAUUUGACCAAUCCCGAAAUUACUGAGCACCGGUCAACGUUAUACCGUCAAGGACCCAGAAGAGUUUCCCUCCAACUAGGAGGCCAAUCACAGCGUAACACGUGUCGACAUCAGAAGCCAAUCAUAGUGCGACACGUGUCAACAUCAAAAGCCAAUCACAACACGACACGUGUCAAUGUCAGAAUGAAACUAGAAACUCUCUUCUAUAAAUAGAGAUCAUUCUCUCAUAAUAUUUCCUAAUGUCAUUUGUACUAAAUCAUUCACCUGUACUCACUAAAGGAGAGCUUGAACCUAUGUACUUGUGUAAACCCUUCACAAUUAAUAAGAACUCCUCUACUCCGUGGACGUAGCCAAUCUGGGUGAACCACGUACAUCUUUUGUUUGCUUCCCUGUCUCUAUCCAUUUGCAUACUUAUCCACAUUAGUGACCGGAGCAAUCUAACGAAGGUCACAAACUUAACACUUUCUGUUGUACCAAAGUCCUCACUGAUUUUGUGCAUCAACAUAUGGCACCGUCUGUGGGAACGACACUUAUUCCCACUUUCUUCAGCUUUGCCAAGCUGGUUUCCACCAUUCGUACACUCUCUUUUGACCAGGCAUCCCUCUUCAACAUGGGGAGCGAAGGAAGCCACAGCAUACAGAAUGACACCCCUCAUGCACCUAGUGCGAAACAACAAAGGAAGGAAGGAAAGAGGGUUGCUCUUUAAGCUAAAUUCGAUGAGUUAGAAGCUCAGAAUAACAAGAUAGCAAUGAAGAAUGAGGUCCUCUAAGAGCAGUAUGAGAAGCUCUUUGAGACGCUCCACGAAACUAGGCGUACUCAAACACGUGAGCUCGUUGCCCCUAUGGACAUCAACCAUCAUCUGGGUGCCCCCCAACACGGAGGGUCACCUCCCUUCGACAUGGGUAUCCCUAAUGAGGAGCAAGCUAAUCAUCAAAACAUUGAUCAACAUGAGACUUCUCUCAACUCAGAUGUUUCGACCCGAAGUAGAAGAAAUGGAGGAAAACACCUCAUUGCAGAAGGGUUUGAAGGAUCAAAAGUCGUUUAUCGUGAUUGCCGAGACUUCCUAAAGCAACGUCGAGAGAAUCCCCUCCACAUAUGCUCGAAGAUCAAUGACCUAAGGGUUUCUGAAAGACUCGGUCCCUUCUCACGACCCAGGCCAGCUGCUAAUCUAGGGAAGGAAUGACAGGUCCCAGAGGAAUAUGAAGGUACGGAGGACUCUGAGGUAUUCCGAUAGACUCGUCCUAUAAGUCAGUACGGCGAGUCCAAGAAAAAACCACACGCCCUUACUCAAACUUUCCUACUUCCAAGAGGCGAUGGAAACUUACGAAAGAAAAUUCCAGUGGUACAUGACUUUACUCAGGACCCCCUUGUCCUUCAGCUUCUUGUGGAAGUAACCAAGUUGAAGGCCGAACGUCAGGCCGAGAUACCUGACUCGAACCAACCUAGGCAUGGCUCUCUCAUAAGAAGGAUCAUCGACACCCCCUUUCAAGUGAAGACAAAACAAAAGCUUAGUUUACAACUCUAUACUAGAAGGGAGGACCUAAUUGAACACCUUAACCUCUUUGAGGCCACCAUGGCAUAUCGGAUGCAUACUGACGAAGAGUAAUGUCUUCUCUUCCUCUCCACCCUCUCUGGCGGAGCUCUAAACUGGUAUUGCCAUCUUCCACCUGAGACAGUAGACUCAUUUGAGGAAUUGAGGAAACUGUUUGUCUCUCAACACAUCUUCCAGACCGAUCACUUGCAUUCUACGGAUGACUUGUACACUAUUCGCUAGAAGCCGGACGAGUCACUACGAGAGUAUGUCGGUCGCUUCAGCCAUGAGUAUUCUCGCUGCACUGAGGCAGAUGACAAGACCGCCCUCAAGGCCUUCAAGGCAGGCCUACGUGAUUGUUUCUUCAAGUACAUGAUCAAUGCCAACACUUGGAAGACUUACUCUGAGAUGAUGGCACAAGCUUACAACCACGCCUACGCCGAAGUAAAGACAUACCAAGGGAACCCCCAUAUGGUUAACCCCUAUCAAGAAAUGGGAAGUGGAAGUCAAGUUCUACCAAGUGAGGAGAUAUUAGCCUUUCAGACACCCAUUGCAUCAUCUCCUGCCUCAUUUAGCUACUCGCUAAGUCACCAAACGUAUCUGUCUCUUUGUAAGAGGAAGGAUUUUUACUCUCAGCAAGCCCAUUACAGCAAGAGGGAUAAAAGUUCGUAUCAAGACAACCAGGGGUGAACGUACCGUCGAUUAUUAUGUCUAUAGGGCCAUGCCUCACUCUUUCAAAGUGAAGGACUAGGUACUGAAGGAAAUGUUAUUAUAAGAAGGCAUACACAUUACAAAUGUUUUGACUCUUAACCGCUUGAGAUCUUUUGUCACACAAGCCAUUCGGCAAAUAUUUAAAGAAGAGGGAAUUCAUACAACUUCUUCUGAGUCUUUUGCGUUCCUAGCACUGGAACACUUGGUCUACAUUGACCUACCCUUAUACUCCAACUCAGAGCUUCAACAUGCGUACUUUGACACAAAGUAUGUGAUACUAAGUGUUACAACUAACAUGGUUCACAUAUCAAAAGCAUGGAUCCCUUCAUGCAUAGCAAAACAUUCAUCAGCAUCACACAUAUCAAUCAACAUAAACAUUAUACAUUCCAACACAUUCAUACAUAAACAUCAUACAUUCCAACACAUUCAUACAUAAACAUCAUACAUUCCAACACAUCCAUACAUAAGCCAACUGUGCUUCAAAAGGGUUCAACAUACUUUGUGUCUUCAACACUUGCUACAAUGUGCCUCGACACCUUGCCCUUAUUCUCACCAACCAGGUGAUGAAAUGUGAAGAAGGAACUCAUCUUCAUGCCACCAACCAAGUGAUGAAAUGUACAACCCGUACUCUAAUAUCAUUUGGCAACUUGCCACUCAUGCCACUAACCAGGUGAAGAAGGAACUCAUCUUCAUGCCACCAACCAGGUGAAGAAGGACCUCAUCUUCGUGCCACCAUCCAGGUGAUGAAAUGUCCAACCCGUACUCUCCUUCAUGCCACUAACCAGGUGAUGAAAUGUACAACCCGUACUCUAAUAUCAUUUGGCAACUUGCCACUCAUGCCACCAACCAGGUGAAGAAUGAACUCAUCUUCAUGCCACAAACCAGGUGAUGAAAUGUACAACCCAUACUCUCCUUCAUGCCACCAACCAGGUGAUGAAAUGUACAACCAGUACUUUAAUAUUAAUUGACAACUUGCCAUUCAUGCCACCAACCAGGUAAAGAAGGAAAACAUCUUCAUGCCACCAACCAGGUGAUGAAAUGUACAACCCGUACUCUCCUUCAUGCCACCAACCAGGUGAUAAAAUGUACAACCCGUACUCUAAUAUCAUUUGGCAACUUGCCAUUCAUGCCACCAACCAGGUGAAGAAGGAACUCAUCCUCGUGCCACCAACCAGGUGAUGAAAUGUGAUGAAAGGUGAUGAAGGAACUCACCUUCGUACCACCAACUAAGUGAUGAAAGCAACUCACCAUUCAUUCCACCUACCAGAAGACGAGUGGUACAACUUGUACAUGUGAACUCUUAGCAUUCACAAAUAAUCAAAAACCCUCAAGCUUGACAACUCAACUAGGGGAGCACUUAUGCCUAACAAGAGUUAUAGUCACCAAUAAAGUCUUAUUGCAAGCCAAUAACAACUUCAGUGCAUGGCAUACGAAGAUUAAGCUAUUCAGCCCUCUUGCAUCUGCUUCAAGCAUUUCCCCUCUGUAACAAUGCAAACACUACAACUCGUAGAAAGCUUCACACACUCUUGAUCAAGACAGUGUGAAGCAAAACCAAUUUAUGGUGCUAACAAGAGCUUCAUCAAAGAAGUUCAACCACAAUUCUUAAAAACUUCACACAUUUUUUAUCAAGACAGUGUGAAGCAAAACCAAUUUAUGGUGUCAACAAGAGCUUCAUCAACGGAGGGCAACUACAAUUCUCAAAAGCUUCACACACUCUUGAUCAAGAGAGUGAAGCAAAACUAAUUUAUAGUGCCAACAAGAGCUUCAUCAAUAGAGGGCAACCACAAUUCUCAAAAGCUUCACACACUCUUGAUCAAGACAAUGUGAAGCAAAACCAAUUUAUGGUGCCAACAAGAGCUUCAUCAAAGGAGUUCAACCACAAUUCUCAAAAGCUUCACAUACUCUUGAUCAAGACAGUGUGAAGCAAAACCAAUUUAUGGUGCCAACAAAAGCUUUAAAUUGGUGCCAACAAGAGCUUCAUCAAUGGAAGGCAACCAUAAUUCUCAAAAGCUUCACACACUCUUGAUCAAGACAGUGUGAAGCAAAACCAAUUUACGGUGCCAACACAAAUUUCAUCAAAAGAGUUCAACCACAAUUCUCAAAAGCUUCACACACUCUUGAUCAAGACAGUGUGAAGCAAAACCAAUUUAUGGUGCCAACAAAAGCUUCAUCAAUGGAAGGCAACUACAAUUCUCAAACCUUCGAAGCAAAUUCAAGACUGUUCGAAGCAAAUUCAAUUUAUAUGGUUCAUCCAAACCUUCGACUACUACAAGGUGUGGCUUGCAUCACAAUCUCUUGCUCAACAGUGUGGAAGCAAAAUUUGUAUAUGUUGUCUCUCCCACAUUUUUCAAAUUUCUAGUUUCCCAAAAAAAAAAAAUUGGGAAAUUCAACAAAGCUUCAUCAAUGGAGGACAACUACAAAUUCUCAAAAGCUUCACACUAUCUUGAUCAAGAUAGUGUGAAGCAAAAUCAAUUCGUGGUACCCAACAAAGCUUCACCACAAAAGCUUCACCAACAAAAGCUUCAUCAAUGGAGGACAACUACAAAUUCUCAAAAGCUUCACACUAUCUUGAUCAAGAUAGUGUGAAGCAAAAUCAAUUCAUGGUACCUAACAAAAAGCUUCAACUCCAAAGCUUCACCAAUAAAAACUUUAUCAAUGGAGGACAACUACAAAUUCUCAAAAGCUUCACACUAUCUUGAUCAAGAUAGUGUGAAGCAAAAUCAAUUCAUGGUACCCAACAAAAGCUUCAACUCCAAAGCUUCACCUACAAAGCUUCAACUCCAAAGCUUCACCUACAAAAGCUUCACACCCACAAUAGCUUCACCCACAAAGCUUCACCUACAAAAGCUUCACCCAUAAAAGCUUCACCAACAAAAGCUUCACCCACAAAAGCUUCACCCACCACAAAAGCUUCACCGACAAAAACUUCACCCAUAAAAGCUUUACCAACAAAAGCUUCACCCACAAAAGCUUCCACCACCAUAAAAGCUUCACCCACAAAAGCUUCCCCCAUCACAAAAGCUUCACCAACCACAAAAGCUUCACCCAUAAAAGCUUCACCUACAAAGCUUCAACACAAAAGCUUCACCUAAAAAAGCUUCACAUUAUCUUGAUCAAGAUAGUGUGAAGAUAGUGUGAAGCAAAAUCAAUUCAUGGUACCCAACAAAGCUUCAAUCUCAAAGCUUCACCUACAAAGCUUCAACAACAAAGCUUCACCUACAAAGCUUCAACAACAAAGCUUCACCUACAAAGCUUUAAAAUAUAUAUAUAUAUAUAUAUAUAUAUUUUUUUUUUUUGAAAUUCGAAAAUAAAAAAUAAAAAAAAAUUCGAAAAAUAAAAAAUUUCAAAAAAAAAUUCGAAAAAAAAAUUGCUUAGGCCUCCUUUUCUUUGGGCCUAACAACUUUCAUAACAAAUAUAUAUGAAGAAGGAGUUUUGGGCUACCACUUAGAAAGGAAAUGCCUCAUUCGUCAACUCCCUCGACCGGAGACUUAGGGGACUCCUACCAUAUGCUACUGCACCUUGAUACUCGGAAGUCUCACGACCACUCAGUGACUUGGAUUUUUCAAGUCUCCAAACGAGAAGUUUUCCUCACUCGGAAAAUUAAGGGAGCACUACCUCAACCUACAUGCUUCACUCACAAAGCUUCAACAUACAAGCUUCAACAAAAGGAAAAAUUCAAAGAACUUAGUGAAGAAGGCCUUGGUGUAUUUAACACAAUACGUUGAAAUGAAGCAAAGCUUGUUUAUUGAUAUCUCCGAUAAGUUACAAAUAUGUACAUAUACAUGAAUCAAAAUAAACAAACAAGAGGAGCCUUCACAAAGGUUGCUCAGGAGAAGUCUCAGCAGUCGGCAAGGGCCCCAGAAAGAGGAGGCACCAGAGGGUGAUUAUUCGGAGCCUCAGUACUAGGCAGAACCCCAGAAGGAGGAGGCACCGAAGGUUGAUCAUUUGGAGCUUCAUUACGCGGUACAGCCCCAGAAGACGAAGGCAAUAAAUGCCUUUGGAACAAACCCACAAACCUCUGAUGAUCAAGUAAAAUCUGACCAUCAGAUUCCUGCAGCUGGUCGAGCUUCCUCUUCAUGUUUGUAGCAUAGUCAUGUGCGAGCCUGUGCAACUGUUUAUUCUCAUGCUUGAGCCCUCUGAUCUCCUGUUUGAGACUUAUCACUUCAGCCGCCAAUGAUUCAACUUGGCGGGUUCGAGCAAAUAGGCGUUGGGCCAUAUUAGACACAGAACCUGCACACUGAACACUGAGAGCCAGAGAAUCCUUAACAGCCUUCAUCAGACCGUUUGGAAAGUAGUCUGUUAUCUUUGGGAGUGAGAAGGUUCCUGGCCACCACCGCAGCGGUCAUAUCAUUCUUCAUCACAGAGUCCCCAACGGUAAGAGGACCAGUAGGGGAUAAGAAGGAUGGGUGCCAUAUGUUGUCUUGAGAAGGCAUGGCUGCCUCUUCACCAAAGUUCAAGUCAAAACGACGGUCGGAUGGGCCAGACAUUCUCAGAAAUGAUGAAGGAGAAAUGAGGUGCAAUAAAUCUCUGAAGUAAGGGGAAAAUUCCUACAAGCAAUAACUCUCUGAAUGUACUUCUUGCACAUAAUUGGUGCCCUUAUAAAAGAAAGGGCAACAGGGCCGUUGGUUCAAAAAUCGAAGAGGCACCACUCUUCGGAUUCCAAAGAGGCACCACUUUCCACACGCAACAUCAGCUCCUCGGGUACCACAUAUAACUUUGCCAAAGAUCUCUGACAAAGUUUAGACACAUAAAUUUUAAAGGUCCAGCUAUCCUACUAUUACCCACAAGGGUAAAGGAACAACACCACUGCUUGAUAACUAGAAAGUCCCAAUGUGUGUCAACCUCCGUGCUCCGUGGCAAGGCAGACUGGCAAAAAUGCCCAACCUUUACUCACAUUUGAUAAAACACUCCCAACAAGAUUGCUUGCUCAAAAAUCGAAGAGACAUCGCCCUCCGAAUCUAGAUAGCCAGACUCCCAACAGGAUUAUUUUCUCAAAAAUCGAAGAGAUACUGCUCUCCGAAUCUCAAGAGUCAGACUCCCAACAAGAUUGCUUUCUAAAAAAUCGAAGAGGCACUGCUAUCUGAAUCUCGAGAGCUAGACUCCCAACAAGAUUACGUGCUCAAAAAUCGAAGAGGCACCGCCCUCUGAAUCUCGAGAGCCAGACUCCCAACAGGAUUACUUUCUCAAAAAAUCGAAGAGACUGCUUUCCGAAUCUCAAGAGUCAGACUCCCAACAGGAUUGCUUUCUCAAAAAUCGAAAAGGCAUCGUUAUCUGAAUCUUGAGAGCCAGAUCCUCGACAGGAUUGCUUGUUCGAAAAUCAAAGAGACACCGCUCUCUGAACUCCGAGAGCCAGAUUUCCUUGGAUAAAGCUUGUCUGCAAUCUUCACACACAACAUCAGUUUUCCAGAUACUACAAACCACUUUUUCAAAGUGCUCUGACAAAGUUAAAACACGUGAAGCUUGCAGCUCCCAUUACAUUGCUAUGACCAAGAAGGGUAAAGAAAUAGCACUACUACUUGUUAUUAGGGAGACUCAUAUAUAUAUCGACCUCCAUCCUCCACAACCAGGCAGACCUACAAAUAAAAAAAAAUGCUCAACUUUUCUUCACAUCCGAGAAGGCACCCUCAGCAGAGUCUCAUGAAAUACUCAGCUUUUUUUCCUCCCGAUAAUACCUCUGCAAACAAGCCACACCAGAGCAAGAGUAUCUCAUAUCAUCAGGGUUAAAAGCAAGAGUAUCCCAUAUCAUGCUUUUUCCCUGUUUUUUCCUUUGGCCUUGUUUUUACCUACAAGACAAGGAGAAAAAGAGCAAUCAGUCAGCGCUUGAAAUCAAGCUUCAAGUCAGGAACUACCUCUUGCCUGAUUACUUACCUGACAUUGCUCUCGAGUACUCAUCUUCAACAUCUUAUGCUUUCAGAGAAGAUACCAUAUCUGCCUGAGGAACAGAUAAGGCAAGUGAGAAGGAUACAAGGAAGCAAGUGGAGACAAGCGUAACAGAACACGUGCCGAUACAUCCACUACUUUGUCAACAACAAAAGUAUCCCAUAUCAUCAGGGUCGAACGUACUCUAGAUUUGAUGGACUUGUUUUGACCCUCAAAUUCUUGAGUCGGCCUUAUACUCUGGAGGAAACCAGAAAACCCUCCAGCCCAGUUCAAGAAUAAGCAUGUGGAAAGUUACUUCUUCAAAAGCAAAAGUAUCUCAUAUCAUCUCUUCUCCAUUUGUUUCUCCUUAUCCUUGUUGCUAUUUAAGACACAAGGAGAAGGAGAACAAUCAACCGGAAGCCGAAGUUGAACCUCUGAUCCAGGUUGCUUGCUUGGAAGUCUGAUUGCUUACCUUUUCUGUUACCUCUCUCGGCAAAUCUCCUAGCUCGACGACUUGGGGGACUCCUACUACAGGGUUUGUAUCGCACAUGACCAAGCUCGAAAUUACAAGUAAGCUUCAAGUGAAAUUGAUACAUUACCUUAUGCAUCUUCAUCGGUUAAAGAUACCACCCAUGGAUAGAGGAAAAGUACCUCUAGAGAAGAUGCCACAUCUACAUAUGAGACAGAUAAGACAAGUGAAAAUGAUACCACACUUCGGUACUUAGAAGUUUCGUGAUUACUUAAUAGCUUGGAUCUUGUAAGUCCCUAACCGAGGAGCUUCCCUUACUCGGGAGCUUAGGGGAUCACUGUUUGUACCAUACUUGACCAAUCCCAAAACUACUGAGCACCGGUCAAAGUUAUACCGUCAAGGACCCAUAAGUGUUUCCCUCCAACCAGGAGGCCAAUCACAGCGUGACACGUGUCGACAUCAGAAGCCAAUCAUAGCGCGACACGUGUCAACAUCAGAAGUCAAUCACAACACGACAUGUGUCAAUGUCAGAAUGAAACUAGAAACUCUCUUCUAUAAAUAGAGAUCAUUCUCUCAUAAUAUUUCCUAAUGUCAUUUGUACUAAAUCAUUCACUAGUACUCACUAAAGAAGAGUUUGAACAUAUGUACUUGUGUAAACCCUUCACAAUUAAUAAGAACUCCUCUACUCUAUGGACGUAGCCAAUCUGGGUGAACCACAUACAUCUUGUGUUUGCUUCCCUGUCUCUAUCCAUUUGCAUACUUAUCCACACUAGUGACCGGAGCAAUCUAGCGAAGGUCACAAACUUAACACUUUCUGUUAUACCAAAGUCCUCACUGAUUUUGUGCAUCAAUAUUGUACAAAUGAAAGGUAUGGUGACUAUAGAAGCUAAAAAUAAAUAAACAGAAAAUAAAGGAAAAGUGACAAAGAAAAAUAUUAGUUUGUGUCGUUCUCAUUGUAAUAGUCUGUCAUGUGAUAUAUUUUAUACAUUGUAAUAUGAACGAUGAGUAAGUGUUUUGUUUUUUUUGUCAAACAAUAUAUUUGUUAGAUUAGAGAAUUGACGGGGUUCGAAUCCACGUCGUGGUGCAAGGCCACCACUAGUCUCCACUACUGUGGUAGAGUGCCACUUGUGGUCAGUAAGUUAUUAAAUGGUGUGAGAAUUACACCAAAAUAUUCAUUAGUUUUGGAGUAAUGCUAGAGAGACUAAAUUUGUAGACAAAAUUUUAAAAACUAAAAGACAUAAAAGUUAAUGAUUGGUUUAUUACUUAAGUGUUAAUAAACAUGCUUAUUCCUAUUGGUGACACAUUAUUUAGUUUACAAAUUUUGUCUAUAAAUUUAGUCUCUGUGGCAUUACCCUUAGUUUUAGGCUUUGUAAUCAAAAUGGUCUUAGAGAUUGGUACAACUCUUUACUUUGGUCCCAAAUAUUGAAAAUUGAUAGAAGUAAUCCCUGAGUUUGUUCACCGUAAAUCAUUUUGGUGCAUCCGUGAAAAGUCUGUCAACACCAUCUUUAAAUUGUCAUAUGAGCGACCACAAGACAACCUUUUCCAUAGUAUUGUCAAACUAACUCCUUUUAUUAACCAAAAUGGUCGAGUUUGGUAUAACCUCUCAUUUUGAUUACUAACAAUGAAUAUCAAUAGAUGUGGUCCUUGAGUUUGUCUAUCGUAAAUCAUUUUGGUCAUUCUAUGAAAAAUUUAUCAAUAUACUCGUUAAAUUGUCAUGUGAGCGACCGCGUGAUCACCUUUUAAAGGGCAUUUUUACCAAACCAACCCCUCCACUUAACAAGAAUAUUGAUAGAGUUUUCAAGGAAGGAACAAAAUGAUUUACGAUGGUCAAACUCAAUGACCACUUCUAUCAGUUUUCAUUGUUAGGGACUAAAAUAAAGAGUCAUGUCGAUAUCAGGAACUAUUUUGGUUAAAAGGGGUUGGUUUGAUAAAAAAAUACAUUUAAAAGGGUGGUUACAUGGUCGCUCAUGUAACAACUCAAUGAUGAUAUUGAUAGAUUUUUUACUGAAUGAUCAAAAUAAUUUAUGGUGGAUAAAGUCAAAAACCACGUCUAUCGAUUUUGUAAUCUUAGAAACUAAAACGAAGAAUUAUGACAAUCUCAAAAAUCAUAAGUUUAACUAAAAACUCUUCUUGUUAUACAUCAAAAUUAAUGAAUGUGCUUUUGUAGAGGACGUAAAUGUGUCAACGAAUCAGACCUUCACUAGUUAAAACCAUCCCUACUAAUGCUGUUUGAAAAGUAAGUACUAAUAUGAUUAAUGAUUGUACAGAAAAAUAAGUACUAAUAUGAUUAAUGAUUGUACAGAAAAAAAUAUAUUAUCUGAACAGCUCAUCGUGCAUGUUGAUUGAUGUAAAGUGAAUUUUUUUUUUUUUGGUAAACUUGGGAAGGUGGAACUUGGGAAGGAAUUUCACAUUCUUGGGGUGAUCAAUAUAAUGAGAUUGUAAGUCUAGUUAAACAUGCUUAAUUAAACAUUUAAGCAUCUUUUAUUUAUUUGUUUUCAUUCUUUAUUCCUUCUUAAUUUGUUGUAAUUGUUUGGAACAACUAGCAAGACAAAUCUAGCUAGCUAGCAUUCACUGCACAAUGAAAGAUUAUUCGUAUUUGGAAAUGAAUAAUUAGUUAAAACCUGUAUUAUUAGGCAAAUGGGAUCGUAAAUAUUUGUAUCUUAAACCUUCACAGUCAGAGAUAUUCGAGUCAAUUAGUUAAAAGCUAUGAAAAUUGUGAAUGUGACAGACUACGUACUAAAGUCUGGAUUAUUUGAGAGAGAGAGAGACAUGAGUCUCGCAGCCGACUGGUCCCUCAUCUGAGCAGAAAGAACCAUAGAAAGUUAGGCAACCACGCACAUUUUCAAAGAUGUCGAUCAUGAAAAAUAUUUCACAAAUAAAUUCAGGGAAGACUUUCUGUUUAAAUUAUUAACCCAGAAAUAAAGCUCCAUCUCUUGGUAGCUAGCCUUUCUGCUACGUACUCUUGUUGCAUUAAACUAAACCUUAUUAAAGCAAAAAUAAUCACACCUUAGGUGAUAGGUUUAGGGAAAUGGUUAAUGAUUUUAGCAAGUUCUUGUUUAUUUUUUAAUUUUUAAUUUUUUUUUCUUUAAUCAAUUUAAAUGCUAAAAUUAAACAACGAUGUGCACCACAAAUAAGAGGGUGUGUGAAAAUUAUAUCUCUAUAUCUAGAGAAAAUUAUGGCAAUGGUUCUUUAACUUUAAUAAAAUUGAAGUAAUGGUCUCUCAAAUAAAAAUUUAUGAUCAUUGGUCCCUUAAUUCUUUCAAACAUGCAACUAUAGUCAUUUUCAUCAAUUCCAUAAGAACGUCCAUCAAAAUGAGUCACGUUUCAUGCAAUGAGGCUGAAUCGAAGGACAAAUAUGAAAAACCAAAUGAGAAAAAUUGUAGCAGUGGUCUCUCAACUCUAACCCAACUAGAGAAAUAGUCUCUCAACUUUAACUCAAUUAGAGUAAUGAUCCUUCAACCUUAACGUAAUUGUAGCAAUGGUUAUUCAAACAUAACUUAUUUUGACAGAAUUCUAACGGAGUUAACAAAAAAAUCAUAGCUGCACGUUUUGAUGAGUCAAGAGACCAAUGAUCAUGGAUUUUUAGUUGAAGAACAAUUGCUCUAAUUGGGUUAAAGUUGAGAGGCAAUUGCUACAAUCUUCUCCUAUAUUUAUUUAUUAUUAUCUACGUUUACAAUGAACCAUCUACUCCAUGAAGCAAGAUAUUAAAAAAGGACAAGGAUUGUCUGCCCUUCCAUUUUCCAUGCCCUCCUGUUUUGUGUGAUCACAGUUAAGCCACGUUAACAUUUUAUAUAUUUUUUAUAAAGAUAAUAAAACAAAAAUGAAUAGUAAUAUAAAAUAUUGACGUGGCUUAACCGUGACCACACAAACAAGAGGGCAUGGAAGGGCAUGGAAAAAGGAAGGGCAGACAAUCCUUUCCAUUAAAAAAAGGGCAGGGCUUAACAAAAUUCAGUCAAAGGCCUCCUUGAUCCAAACAUUAAUUGAUAAUCUAUUCAAACAGUGGCCCCAUUAGUCUUAUUUUAACAUUAAUCUUAUUUUUUACUAAGGUAAUUAAUAAUUGCAAGUGAAAUUUGGCAUGAUUACCGUGGUGUUAAAGGUAAAGACCAAAGCUAUAUAAAGGGUGAGAAGGCUUAGCUUAAGAGGCAGAAAUCCCAUUCUUAACAAAGAUGGGGAAAAUGGGGCCUUCACAAGUGACCUCUCUUGUGGUCACUAUACUAGUGGCACUAGUCUCUCUCACAUUGCCUUCAGAAACUUCAGCUAACUACCCUUACUCAUCUCCACCACCACCGGCUUCUCCUCCCUACCACUACAAGUCACCACCACCUCCUUCUCCUUCUCCUCCAGUGUACUCACCACCUAAGCAUCCCUACCACCCCAAGUCACCACCACCAUCACCAAAGCCUUACCACUACAAGUCCCCACCACCACCUCCUCCUCCAGUGCACUCACCACCCCCACCAAAGGAGCCUUACCACUACAAGUCUCCACCACCACCACCCAAGAAACCUCACCAUCACAAGUCUCCUCCACCACCACCCAGGAAGCCCUACCACCCGGUGCACUCACCCCCACCACCAAAGAAGCCUUACCAUUACAAGUCUCCUCCACCACCACCCAAGAAGCCCUACCACCCGGUGCACUCACCCCCACCACCAAAGAAGCCUUACCAUUACAAGUCUCCUCCACCACCACCCAAGAAGCCCUACCACCCGGUGCACUCCCCACCACCACCAAAGAAGCCUUACCAUUACAAGUCUCCUCCACCACCACCCAAGAAGCCCUACCACCCGGUGCACUCACCCCCACCACCAAAGAAGCCUUACCAUUACCAAUCCCCACCACCACCACCACCACACAAGAAGCCUCACCACCCAGUUCACUCACCACCUCCACCUAAGAAGCCUUACCACUACACGUCUCCCCCACCACCCCCUCCAGUCCACAAGUCUCCUCCACCACCAGUUCACUCACCACCACCACCACCUAUUAAACCUUACAAGCCACCAACACCUCCAACAGUUCACCCACCACCCGCUUACAUCUAUUCAUCACCCCCACCUCCUCACCACUACUAGAUAUUGAGAGCUUAGUUGCAUCCAGUUGGUAAGCCUCUCCAUUCUAUGUUUUUAGAUCAUAUCCAUACAACUGCAAGCAAUCGCCAAAUAAUUUGACAAAAAACAUCCCUAGCUAUAAAAUUAUAAUACACUAGUGUUUACUUCCUUUUUUGUCUAAUAAUCCAUAUUGGCAUAUGCAAGCUUAAUGCAUUUCCAGCAUAUCGUCAUUACUCAAUUAAAGUUUCUUGAUAUUUAGUAGUACUCAAGUGUAACAAAUAGACCAAUGACAGAGACCUAACAAGUAACAAUAAUAUAUAUAUAUAU